This 80527-nucleotide long non-coding RNA is filed under the name Citrus maxima (pomelo). RNAcentral's name for it is "long non-coding RNA (CMAX_LNC001224)". Lineage: Eukaryota; Viridiplantae; Streptophyta; Magnoliopsida; Sapindales; Rutaceae. The record is from RNAcentral.
AUUAAAACUCACCCAAUUCAAUCCAUCAGAUUCCGUAAGGAUAUAACUGGAUGUCAUACCGCCACUCCAUAUCCUUGAAAGUCCGUAGUGUUUGUCUCAACUCUGUCUGAGGCCAAUGUAAAUUCAAUUUGCGCAAGCUCUUUAUGCACCACAGCUCUUCUGGAAGCUUUCUCAAGUAAGCACAUGGGUUGACAAUUAAGCUUUCAAGUUUCGGCAUUGCUCCAGCCCCCAUCGUCCACUCAUCUAGCCAAUACAUUGAUUUCAGGUGCAAAACCUUAAGUUCCGGAAAGCUACUCAAGCCAACACAAGCAAGCUUUCUUCCUAAAUACGAGUUCUGCUUCAGUUUCAGCACUCGAAGGCGUGGAAGAUUUUCCAGAAUUGGCAUGGGAUCCUCCAUUAGCUCAGUAUUUGAUAAGCUCAGUUGGAUCAGACUUGGGGGAAAUUGGUAUUCAGACAGGACCAUCCGUGAGGGCUUGCUCUCAUUCACCAGCUUCAAGCAUUCAAGUUUGUGGAGUUCGCAAAGGCUUUUGGAAACCGCAGAUUGAUAGUAACUCAAAUCUCCAGAUAUCCGAAGAGUCUGAACACUAGGUAGUCUGCCCAAUAUAUCAGGAGUACAACUACUAGGGUUUAAAGCUGAUAUGAAAAUGAGAUUUUUCAGAGAGCUGGAAUAAUUUUUUGGAGGUGCGGGCAGAGUGAUAGAACCAAAGUUUAGAUGCAUGAGUUUUUGCAUCAUCCAAAUAUCCUCUGGUGACUGAUCUAUGUAGCUAGAUGGCAUUUCUAGUGUUUCAAGGUUUAAAAGGGUGCAUAGCAGCGAAGGAAGGCGUUUGAGCAAAGGGAUAUUCAAUUUCAAAUACUUCAAAAGGAAUAAAUUUUCUAAUCCGGGUGGAAAUUGGUCGAGAACUGCAGAACCGAAGUUCAGUACCCGAAGGUGUUUGAACUUUUUACAAAAAUUCUCGCAAUCUAUCACAGCGAGAUGAUCGCCUUCUAAACUUUGAUUGAUAAAAGAUUGGAGAUAGAUCUCACCAUGUUCUAAAGAAAUGAAGUCAGUCAGAUGUUCCAAAAUGAUGUAGCGUUUAACAUUUGCAAAUGGUUCCGCUUCCAUUCCAGGCAUCCAGAGAAAUUUCGUCUUGUCUGCCACCAAACCCAAUGAAGUAUAUACAAAACUUGGAACAUAGCAAGCUUUAAUUGUGCCGCCGGCUCUUCUCUUACUCACUUGAAUGAAGCCGCGAUGGAUUAGUUCUUUCAAGUAAUGUUCGGCAGUUUCUUCACCGUUGUAUGGUAUGAAACCUUCAGCUACCCACAACUGAUAUAAUUGCUCCGUAGAUAUCUCCAUACUUGGAGGGAAGACCAACAAAUAGAUGCAGCAGACCUUCAAGUGAAAAGGUAACUCCAUCACAGAAAAAAUUUGUCUCCAAACUGUCGGAAUCGCUUCGCCUUGAAGAUAAUUUUCUAAUGGCAUACUUCCAUAGUGUAGGAUGAAAAAUUGCCAGGCUUCAUGCUUUAAUCUUAUCAAUGGUCCUCCAAUGAGCACUGAAUCACGCCGAAUUUCCUCUCCAUUUUCCAUUUCCAACGACACAAGGAGGUCUGGUUCAGUGACUGUUAUCAAUACUCUGCUUCCAUUCUCAUCAUCAGGGAGAACUUCUUCCAGAUCAUCCCAUAUCUCACAGUCAUCGAAGACGUCAUCAAGCACAAUAAAAUACUUCUUGUUUGUUAGGUAAUCUCGAAGAAUAGAUUCCUUGAAUUGAUAAUCUUCACCGAUAAUUACACUAACCCGAGAUGGAGGCAUCACAGACUUGAUUAUGUCAUCCAAUAUCUUGCGAAAAUCGUAGAGUAGAGAAACCCUGACCCAAGCAAGACAGUCAAAAUAGAACUUGACAUAGUUAUUAUUGUAAGUAUCUGCAGCAAAAGCAGUCUUAUCGAAGCCACUGCUGUCGAGAAUUGCAACCACUGAAAGCCCAGAUGGUCCCUCAAUCAAUAGAUCAAACAACUCCUCUCUGCCCCUUUCAAAUUCACUGAUAUCAAGCCGAGGAUGUCCCUCAUUCAAUAGGCGAAUCAUUUCGUUACUUUUUUCACUGAUAUCAAAACCAUUGUCGCCGGGUGGAAGUUGUUGCAUCCGAUUUCUAAUAUCAAUGAUUUCACUGUGGAGUCCAUCAGGAAGAGCCAUAUUAGUGCUGCUUUCACUUUCGUUUUCACUGUUUUGCUGCUGCAUGAUGUUGAUGAAGAAUGUGUCAAUGACUUCCUCAGAGUCACGGACAAAGUUAUUGAUGUCCUUCAGAAUUUCAAAAAUAUCUGCUGUUUCAACGUCUUCUUCAUCGCUUUCUUCUAAGUCCAACAGUUGCAAAAAAGGCAAAGAUAUUUUGGAGUCAUCGAUAUCUUCUCUAAGGAGUUGAAUCAAAUGCCGAGCCAUGUCGGCUUCAUAGUUUCCCAGAAGAGUAGUAGCAAUAAUUUCGGACUCCGUAAGAAGGUUUUGAAAAAGUGGAGUUAAAUUUGUUGAAUCUGGCAGAGGCAACGUGCCUUCUUCACCUGCUAACACCCUUUUCAACCUCUCACAAAACAGUCGGAGGUGGACGUCCAGCAUAUCUCCUUCUCUCUGUAGCACCCAGAGGUAUUGUUUUUUGCUCCAAGAAAUAUUAAAAGGAUUGGUUCUAUCUAAAAGUGGUUACUGGUGUAAAAUUAAACGCCAUGGGAGAAUUUGAAAGGAAGAUGCCAAGGAACUGGCGAAGUGGCUAAAUUCCACAAAUACGGCAUUAUUGCUCAUUUUUAACUCAAAAAAUUGAUACGCCUUCAUUUAGCGAAAAGUCCAAGACGCUUGCCUUUUGAAAAGAAGAGGUAUCCAUAGAUAUCCAACAUUUAUCUUAUUUUAAUUACUACCACGACAUGAUUGAUGGUUGUUAAAUCAAUUGUUUCUUUUUUAAUUUAAAGAAAUUUUCAUUAAAAAAUAGUUUAAUAGACACAUAAUAUUACAAUAAAUAAAGUAAAGUUUAAAUUAUUUUGAAUAUUAUAAAAAAUAAUUUUAAUAUUAUUAAUAGGAAGACAUUUUGUUAAUUUUAAAAUCUUUUUAACCCAAAGGUUUAUUUAAAAUCUUUAUUAUAAAUACAAAUAUAAAAUUAAAUAUCAUAAUUUAAAAUUUUUAAUAUUAUUUUAAGUAUUAAAAAUAUUUUAAUGUUAUUAGUCUACUACAUAGAUUUUAUUAUUUAUAUUAUAUCUGUAUUGAUUAAAAUUUUUUAAAGUCAAUUUUUUAGUCAAUAUAUUCAAGAGGUAUUAUAGUUAAAGAAAAGAUUUUGGUGUUAUUUUUUGAAAAUUUUAAGGUUUAAAUGAUUUUUUUUUUAAUUUUAAGGAUGUGGGUAUUAUUUUUCCGACAAUUUAUUUUAUUUUUGGGGAAUCCGAUGAGAAAUAUCAUGAGAGAAGGUUAAUUUUACAUUCUUUACCUUUAUGAAAAAAGUGGAAACCAAGAACUAUUCAAUUUUGUAUUUUUUGUUUGUAAUUCAAAAAAUGCAUCCACCAAACAAGCUUAUCUUGAUUUUCCCACUUUAUUCAUUUUCGAUCCUUUAAUCCAUCUAGCAUCUGCAGCCCCCGCUAUUUUCACAAAGAGUAAUGAUACAGCCACAAAUUCUUGUACAAAUUUAUUUUGUAUAAACUGACGUGGCAUGAUAAGAUUGGUUGAAUUAAAUAUCACUUGGCCCACAUGAUUUGUUUUUAUUAUUUUAUAUUUUUAUUCAACCAAUGAAUUAAUGCCACGUCAGUUUGUACAAAAUAAAUUUGUACAAGAGUUUGUGGCUGUAUCAUUACUCUGUCAAGAAUCUCCAUCCCACAGCUACACUAUCAAACAAGUUGAUGGAAAUUGAACAAUUGCUUUUUGAAGUGGACCCAUUAGGUUAUGUUCAUUACUGGUCAUUGUCUAUUCUUUCUAAGAGCCACUUAUUUUGAGCAUUAGCGAUCCUAUCUGGACUACUCCAAUUAUUGAUGUAACUCCAAUGGUUGCAUCAACAGUUGAAUGUAAGAUAGUGUCAGUUCUUUUUUGAGAAUAUAGAGGGAUCUUUAUUUGUUUCUCCGUUGCAGCGUAUUAGUAUAAAUUUCUUGACCUUACAGUUCCUACAGUCUUCCUGUUAAUGAAUUCGCUGAGGCAUUAUUGAUCCAAUCUCAGUGAAGUAAUUGUGGGUGAAAAAAAAAUAAAGGAUAAGAGAACGUAGCUCAAGUGCUGAAUUGACUAUUAAAGAAGAGCGUCACCUGAUCACAAUCACAUUGAUGCACAACUCACUCGAGGCAAAUUUCAUCUAUAUAUACUGCAAAUUCAGCCAAGCCAUGCAUGCAUGAACAAAACUAAAAUGAAGUUCAUAAUCACAACUGUAAUUAGAGCUACAAAAGGUGGCAAACCAUACAUGCAUGAACAAAAUUAGACAUAAAUUGAAGCCACAACAUUAAUUGAAGCCACAAAAGCCAGCAAAUCCAAAUGAAAACUUAAAAGGAAGAUCUUAUCGAAGUUUGUCCCCAAAAGACAGCGGAAAUGAAAAAUAUUGACUAUCGAGUGGAUCAAUGCUGAAUUACAUUUGACCUGGAAAGCUUGGCUGCAGUUGCGAUGUUCCCCCUCUGAUUUUCCCUAAAACAAAUUCAGUUGUAAACAAUAACUGGAGUAGCAACAAUUUAUUCAUUAUAGAAAAUACCUAAAUUUUCAACUAUCAAAUCCUCUUGUCUAAACUAAAAAACUCAUAUCUCUAAAAUCUAUAUACAAAAUGUCAUAAAUGAGGGUGAUCUCUCAAUUCGGUAAACAAAUUCAUGCAUAAUAUUACCAAUAAUGAUAAAUUACAUAAUAAUUAUUAUAAAGAAUCAUAAAUUGGAAACAUUAAUCAUUUUAAAAUCUAUUACAUAAUAAAAAUAAAUCUUAUAAUAAGUUACGUUAGAACAUAACAAAUAUUUAAAAUGAUAUAUAUAAUUAUUUAAGAAGUCUUUUAACAAUAAUUUUUUUUUUCUUUUUCAGUUGAUCAUGUCAUAGCGUUAUCUAAAAUGCUAGCGAUAUCAUUAUUCCCCACUUUUCUCAAAAAAAAGAAAAAGAUAAAGAAAAAAGAAAUAUGAUUAACGUUUGGAGAAAAGUCAUGCCUUUUAAAAAGAAUAUGUAUACAAUACCAAUUCAUACUUUAUCUUACCAUAAAAAAAUUGUUUAAAAUAGAUUUAAUGCACAAAUAUGAUGACUUUUGGCAGAAAUGAGUUUCGGAAAUAUUGGGAUGAAAACCAUAUUGGUUCAGACUUAAAAUUACUUAAUAAAAUUACUUAACUACCAUUUAAUAAAUAAAAAUCAUAUUAGUUGAAAGUUAAAUUAAGAUUUAAAUGUUGAGAUAUCUAACGUUACUCAAUCAGAAUAAACAAUAAUCAAUUCAAAUUAUGACUAUCAUGUAGAAGCAAAUGUUUAUGCUUGGGUCUUUUACUUCUUGAAUUUGAUUGGAAAAAUUUCUGAGACAGGGAAGUGAGUGUUUUGGAUAAUAUUUUUCGGGAUUGAAACCACAAGUUGGUCGAGGAAAAUAAUUUUGGACAAAUUUUUAUUAUAUUGUAGAACCUUUUUGGUUCCUUUUGUGUCGGCAGCCCCUCACUAUUCUCUUAACCCUGAGUUUUGAGAUAGAAAUUUCCCGAACUCCAACCCCACAUCCACAGACAAGUUGAUUGAAACAAUUGCUCUUGUAAUUAAGAGGAUGAGUUAGGGUUCAGUUCUUAUCAUUGUCUGUUAUUUCUUUGAAUCAUUAUCUUAGUUAAUUACAUCAAUUGUUUCUUUUCUUAAUUUAAAGAAUUUUUCUUUUAAAAAAAUAUUUUAAUAUCAAAAUGCGUUAAAUGGUAUUACUGCCGCAAUCCCAGUAACAGGAUUAAUUAAAAAAAUAUUCUUAGGAAGAUAUUUUGUUUAUUGUAAAAUCUUUUUAACCCAAAGGUUUAUUUAAAAUCGUUAUAAUAAAUAAAAAUAUAAAAAAAAAUAAAUAUCAUAAUUUAAAAUUUUAAUAUUAUUUUAAAUAUUAAAAAUACUUUAAUGCUAUUAGUCUACUACACAGGUUAUAUUACUUAUAUUAUAUUUGUAUAAAUUAAAACUUUUAAAGUUAAAUUUUUAAUUACUAUAUUGAAAAGGUAUUAUGGUUAAAAAAAGUUUUGGCAUUUGUUUUUUGAAAAUUUGAGGGUCUGCAUGACAAUUUGUCCAAAUCCUAGAGGUAUAGGUGUCUUUUUUUUUCGAUAAUUCAUUUUACUUUUGAGGGAAUCCGAUGAGAAAUAAGAUAAGAGAAACGUCAAUUUAACGUUCUCUAGGGAAAACCAAGAACUAUUCAAUUUUGUAUUUUUUGUUUGUAAAACAAAAAACAGUUUGCCAAAAAAGGUACCAAACAUAUCCUUAAUGUCUCACAUGAUUUCUUAUUAAGUCCAUACUCGAUAUAUUUAUACAUUUUAGGUAUUUUAGUUAUAAAAGAAGUUGGUCCUCCCUCUGUUUAUAAAAGGUAACUUUAUUUCGAGAUUACCACUAAAGUCUUACAAAGAAUUAGUGUAAUGUUAAGAGAGACUAACACAGUUUUCCAUUACCAUUUUGAAAAUAGAAAGAUAUGGAUGUGUGCAUUUAAUGGUGCGUUUACUUGCCGGAUUGGGGAAUCAGAAUCUGGAAUCAGAAUGAUUGAUGGUGUUUACUUCACAAAUAUGGAGCAGGAAUCGGAAUUGGAAUGGUGGGGCCCACCACUAUUUGGGAAUGGGAGAUUGAUUCCCAUGGGGGAAGGUGGGAAUGAGUCUCUCAUUCCCUGGAUUGACCAUUUUGCCCUCCCUCAAAAUUAAAAAUGCCUACUUUGUCCUCUUUUAUAAUUAAUUAAUAUAAUAUUAUAAUUAAUUAAUUAAUAUAUAAAUAUUUUAUUAACUAUAAUUAUUAAAAAUUAUAGUUCUUGAAUAAAUAAUCACAAUAAUUAAUUUAUUAUUAUUAUUGUUAAUGAAUUAAUAUAAUUAUUACUAUUAAUUAAUAUAUUAAUAUAUUAUUAACAAUAAUAUAUUAAUAAUUAUUGUUCGUGAAUAAAUAAUCACAAUAAUUAAUAUAUUAUUAUUGAAAUUAAUUAAUUAAUAUACUAUUAUAAUAAUUAUUAUAAUUAAUUCAUAUAUUAUUAUUAAUUAAUUAAUAAAAUUAAAAUUAUUAAUUAAAUAAAUAAUAUAAUUAUUACUACUAAUUAAUAUAUUAAUAUAUUAUUAAAAAUAAUUAUUAAUAAUUAUAAUUUUUGAAUAAAUAAUCACAAUAAUUAAUAUAUUAUUUUAAUUAAGUAAUUAAUAUUAAUAUUAUUAGUUAAUAUAUUUUUAUAAUAAUUUUUGAUAUAGUUAUUAUAAUUAAUUAAAAUUUUUUACAAUUAAUUAAUAUAUUAGUUAAUAAUAAUUAUGACAAUAAUUCAUUAAGUACUUUUUAGUAAUUUGUUACAAUCUAAUUCAUUCCGAUUCCGAUUUCAAGACAAAGUAAACACAUUAAUGGCAAUCUAGCUCAUUCCGAUUUCGAUUCUUACAGUUCAAGUAAACAACUUAUUUUGAUUCCCAUUACCUAUUCCCAUUCCAGCCCAUUCUCAUUUCUGCCCAUUUCAAUUCCAGCUCAUUCCGAUUCCAGUUUAGUAAACGCAGCAUAAGAGUUAUCAUGAAAAUCAUACAAUUUAAUUUCCUGAAAUAUAUAUUUUAUUCACAUGUGCCAAAAGAAUAAAUAGAUAGAAAGUAAAUUUACAAUCCUCACUCCCUCAUAAUUGUUAAAGUGAAUAUGCAUUACAACUGUGAACUGUCACUACUUUAGCCCUUUAUUUGUUUUUUCAAUUAUAGUGUGAUGGAGACAGUGAACAUUAAGGAUAAAGUGCUCUGCUGAAAGCCAAACUUCCUUUGGCUAAUUAAUUUAGAAGUAAAGCAGAGAAUAAAGUCCUUGAUGCCUUCUGAAAUUAGAAAUACAUUUUAUAUGCUUUAAUUAUGAUUAUUUGGUAGACUAUUGACCAAAAGACAUGUUAAAGUAUAAAACAGAGCGAUUAAAGAAAAAAAAAAGGAGCGUUUGUGACGUAGAAUAACAAUUUGUAAGCAAAGUCCUAAUUUGAGUUGUCAAAAAGCAAACAUAACAGAGAAGGUAAGAGAGAUGCAAAAACAGAAAACUAUUAGCUUAUCUUGAUUUUCCCACUAUAUUCAUUUUCGAUGCUUUUCAAACGAGAUUCUUUUAAUCCUUCUGGCGUCUGCAGCCCCUGCUCUUCUUAUAAAUCUCCUUCCCACAUCUGCACUACGAACAAGUUGACUAAAAUUAAAUAAUGUUGGAGACGAGGGGUGAGCCGUCAACUUAUUAAAAAAAACUCAUGUAUAAUAUUAUCAAUAAUAUAAAAUAUAUAAUAAUUAUUAUAAAGAAUCAUAAAUUAGAAAAAUUAAUUAUUUUACAAUUUAUUUCUUAAGUAAGAUAAAUCUCGUAAUAAGUUAAGUUUAAUGUAAAAAAUAUUUUCAAUUUAUAAUCAUUUAAGAAGUCAUUUAACAAUAAAAUCUUUUUUUUGAUCAGGUGGCCAUGCCAUAGAGUAUCAUCUAUAUUCGUGGUGAUAUUAUUAUUACUCAAUAUCCUCAAAAGACACUAUUUAACAUUUAGAGAAAAUUUCUGCCUUUUAAAAAGAACAUGUAUGCAAUAGCUAGCCACACUUUAUUUUACCACGACAAAAUUGAUAGUGAUUAAAUCAAUUUUCUCAAUUAAAGAAAUUUUUUUUAAAUUGAUUUAAUGCACAAAUAUGAUGAGUUUUUGCAAAAAUUAGUUUUGGAAAAUAUAGUGAGAGAGAAUGGUGACGAUUAUUUUUCAGAUGUGCAAAUAGCCUAAACAUAAUCUCUAAUACCAAUAUCCUUGUGCAUCUUAACACCUUUCAUGAUAUUCUUUCAUUCAUAACCAUUUGUUCAAUAUUUGAAUUUGAUUAUUAAAUUAUGUUCAAUAAUGUUAGAGACCCCAACAAUUGGGUACCAACUUAAAUCCCAAUGCUAUGUGUCAAUGUAACAUAGCAAAAUCCCAUUAACAAAUGUUGUGUCAUUUAUCAUUAUUGAAUGAAUAAUUCGUUAAUUUAUUGAUAAAUGAAAAUUUAUUAAUUUAAAGAGAGAUUUUUUUUUUUGGUUUUAAGAAGAGUUUUGUUGGUACAUGUACAUACUUAUAAAGGAAAAACUUGUAAUUAUACUAUAUCUUUCUUUCUUUGUUCAGUUUGGUGGGAUAUUGUGAUAAAUCAUUGGAUUAAAAUGCAUUUCUAAAUUGAAACUUGUUAAAAUCUAAUUUAUUUGGGAAACGCAUAUUAUUUGUCAGUCGUACUUCUCAACUUAGCAAGUUAUUUCUAACUUGUCGGUCUCUAUUGGUUCUCUUAAAACUAAUAGUCUCGUAUCUCCCGCAUUUGAUAUCUUGCCAUUACUGUUGGCAUUAACAUGUUACCUGAGAUUGGGAUUCAUUAAAAUCCUCAAUGUAAUCGGUGGAACGAAUGGAUUUCUUCUGUUCACCAAUCCACCAAAAUUUCUGUAAUUAAAUUCAAAAGUCAAGAUCUAUGCUUAUAAUCUAUUCAACAGCUAAUAUUCUAUUUUAUAUUUACUUAAAUAUGAAGAGCUAUGCUUGUAGUUAACUUCAAAUGUGAUCGAAGCAGCCUUACAUCUAUAUAUUACUUAUGCCCAACCUUUUUUUUUGACUUCAUAUACAUUCUUUUCAUGUUAUUUACUCUUUUUUCCCCCUCUCUGACAAUUGAGGUAGGGGGUCAAACUUGAAAGUAUCUUAAAAUCAGACAAUAAUUUUUUUUUUUUAAAGAUAGCUACUAAUAUGCUCUAUUAGACAAUGAUAAGUAAUAACCUAGUUGUUUGCAUUAGAAAUGAUAUUUUUUGUGGUGCUGAUAAAGAGGUUGAUUAUGAUUCAACAAUUUAAAAUAUGAAAACAUGUGGAAGACGGCCGCAAUUAAAUUGAUUGUAUGAAAAUAUUUCAAUGAAAUUUUAAAAGUUUAGUACUUGUUAUCUUAUCGAGAGUUUUUUUAAAUUAUAUUACUACUUGAACUUGACUGCUUUUGUAUUGAAUUCCUACCGUUGCCAUUGCUUCUACUCAAAAGCCAUUUAAGUUUGUGUAAGCUACCUAUAGUUUGAACAACAAUUUACUCAUGAAUUGUUGUUCAUAUUAGCAAUUUGAUUGAAAGUGCGGCUGCACUAAUUUUCUAGAUGAAUUUUUUCCUACAUGCUUGUUCUCGUAUGACCCAAAAUCCUACUACAUCAGUUGUAUUAGAAAUUAAUCAACUGGGUUACAAUUAUGCAUCCCCACCAAUAUUUAAGCAAUUUAAUUACAGAAAUAUUUCUUGAGGAAAGAAACUCAUAUCGCCACUAGGCUUGUAAUGAGGCUCAUUUUUAUGAAUCUGGAUGGCAUUAGAUAUCUCUACGAAUAUUGGUGGGAGUAGAUCGCAGAUCUCUGGGCUAUACUACAAAGUUUAUGUACGUUGACUCUCAAUAAAUACAAACGAUUCUCUGAUAUGAUUCAAACAUCAGUGCAUGCAUCAUUUUAAUGAGAAAGAAUAUUCUAAGAACGAAAUUGAAGGUGCAAUCAGCAGCUAAAAUGAAGCCAGAAAUGUACAUGCAUGAGGAAUUUUUCCUAGAAGAUUGAUAUUUCUUUGACUAGCAAACCAUACAAGUCCAAAGCUAGCCAAACCAUACCUGCAAGGUGGGGGUUUAAAUGGAAUACUUCUAAGCAUAAAACAUUGAUUAAAACAGAAUACACACAUACAUACCAGCAAAUUCAAAAUAGCAAGAGGAGUGCAAAAGUUCAAGUUUGUAGACAACAUUGCAACCAUGGCAAGUUUAUAGCAAAUCCUCGAAAUCUGCUAAAUAAAACAAUGCCCUGUCUCAUGAAUCAAUGCUUAAUUAAAAUUGAAACUGAAAGUCUGGCUGACGUUGUUUCCCUCUCCAAUUUUGCCUACAUAAGUGAAAAUAAGAAUAAUAAAUGAAAAUCUGCUUUUACAGUUCUUAUUAGAUAGAUAUAAAUGGAUCUUUCUUUGUUUCUCUGCUGUAUUUUGUGGCUAUCCCACUCUGUUUUGCCAGUCAAGCUGAGUCUAUGUUGAGACAUAAUUUUGACAUCAGAAGCAAUCUCAAUUAGUUUGGCACUUUUAUGACCUCCUUAAAGGUUUUACAAUAAACAUAAAUCUACUGAGAAAGUGGGAAAAAAAAGAAAAUGCAUAUAAAAAUAUGAGUUAUCAGAUAAGAUUAAAACUCACCCAAUUCAAUCCAUCAGAUUCCGUAAGGAUAUAACUGGAUGUCAUACCGCCACUCCAUAUCCUUGAAAGUCCGUAGUGUUUGUCUCAACUCUGUCUGAGGCCAAUGUAAAUUCAAUUUGCGCAAGCUCUUUAUGCACCACAGCUCUUCUGGAAGCUUUCUCAAGUAAGCACAUGGGUUGACGAUUAAGCUUUCAAGUUUCGGCAUUGCUCCAGCCCCCAUCGUCCACUCAUCUAGCCAAUACAUUGAUUUCAGGUGCAAAACCUUAAGUUCGGGAAAGCUACUCAAGCCAACACAAGCAAGCUUUCUUCCUAAAUACGAGUUCUGCUUCAGUUUCAGCACUCGAAGGCGUGGAAGAUUUUCCAGAAUUGGCAUGGGAUCCUCCAUUAGCUCAGUAUUUGAUAAGCUCAGUUGGAUCAGACUUGGGGGAAAUUGGUAUUCAGACAGGACCAUCCGUGAGGGCUUGCUCUCAUUCACCAGCUUCAAGCAUUCAAGUUUGUGGACUUCGCAAAGGCUUUUGGAAACCCCAGAUUGAUAGUAACUCAAAUCUCCAGAUAUCCGAAGAGUCUGAACACUAGGUAGUCUGCCCAAUAUUUCAGGAGUACAACUACUAGGGUUUAAAGCUGAUAUAAAAAUGAGUUUUUUCAGAGAGCUAGAAUAAUUUUUUGGAGGUGCGGGUAGAGUGAUAGAACCAAAGUUUAGAUGUAUGAGUUUUUGCAUCAUCCAAAUAUCCUCUGGUGACUGAUCUAUGUAGCUAGAUGGCAUUUCUAGUGUUUCAAGGUUUAAAAGGGUGCAUAGCAGUGGAGGAAGGCAUUUGAGCGAAGGGAUAUUCAUUUUCAAAUACUUCAAAAGAUAUAAAUUUUCUAAUCCAGGUGGAAAUUGGUCGAGAACUGCAGAACCGAAGUUCAGUACCCGAAGGUGUUUGAACUUUUUACAAAAAUUCUCGCAAUCUAUCACAGCGAGAUGAUCGCCUUCUGAACUUUGAUUGAUAAAAGAUUGGAGAUAGAUCUCACCAUGUUCUAAAGAAAUGAACUCAGUCAGAUGCUCCAAAAUGAUGUACCGUUUAACAUUUGCAAAUGGUUCCGCUUCCCUGUCAGGCAUCCAGAGAAAUUUCGUCUUGUCUGCCAUCAAACCCAAUGAAGUAUAUACAAAACUUGGAACAUAGCAAGCUGUAAUUGUGCCGCCGGCUCUUCUCUUACUCACAUGAAUGAAGCCGCGAUGGAUUAGCUCUUUUAAGUAAUGUUCGGCAGUUUCCUCACCGUUGUAUGGAAUAAAGCCUUCAGCUAUCCACAACUGACAUAAUUGCCUGGUAGAUAUCUCAAUGCCUGGACGGAAGACACACAAAUAAAGGCAGCAGACUUUCAAGUGAAAAGGUAACUCCAACACAGAACAAAUUCGACUCAAGAGUGUCAAAACCACUUUUUCAUCCAUAUAAUUUACUAAUGGGGCACUUCCAUAGUGUAGGAUGAAAAAUUUCCAGGCUUCAUGCUUUAAUCUGAUCAAUGGUCCUCCAACAGGCACUGAAUAAAGCGGAAUGAUCCCUCCAUGCUCCAAUUCAAAAAAGGUAAGGAGGAAUGGAUCAGUGACCAAUAUCAAUACUCUGCUUCCAUUCUGCUUAUCAGGAAGAACUUCUUCAAGAUCAUCCCAUAUGUCACUGUCAUUGAAGACAUCAUCAAGCACAAUAAAGUACUUCUUGUUUGUCAGGUAAUCUCGAAGAAUAGAUUUCUUCAAGUGAUAAUCUUCACCGAUAAUUACCCUAGCCCGAGAUGGAGGCAUUAAAGAAUUGAUUAUGUCAUCCAAUAUCUUGCCAAAAUAGUAGCCUAUAGAAACCCUUACCCAAGCAAGACAGUCAAAAUAGAACUUGACAUGAUUAUUAUUGUAAAUAUCUGCAGCAAAAACAGUCUUAUGGAAGCCAUUGCUGUCGAGAAUUGCAAUCACUGAAAGCCCAGAUGGUCCCUCAAUCAAUAGAUCAAACAACUCCUCUCUGCCCCUUUCAAAUUCACUGACAUCAAGCCAGUGUUGUCCCUUACUCAAUAGGCGAAUGAUUUUGUUACUUUGUUCAGUGAUAUCAAAACCAUUGUCGCUGGGUGGAAGUUGUUGCAUUCGAUCUCUAAUAUCAAUGAUUUUACUGUGGAGUCCAACAAGAAGAGCCAUAUUAGUACUGCUUUCACUUUCGUUUUCACUGUUUUGCUGCUGCAUGAUGUUGAUGAAGAAUGUGUCAAUCGCUUCAUCAGAUUCAUGGACAAAGUGAUUGAUGUCGUCCAGAAUUUCCAAAAUGUCCCGUCUUUUUACGUCUUCAUCAGUGUCUUCUAAGUCUAACAGUUGCAGACAAAGCCAAGCCAUUUCAGCUCCAUUGAGUUGUUCUCUAAUGAUGCGUCGAAUCACACGACGAGUCAUGUCACCUUCAUAGUUCCCGAGCAGAGUAGUAAUAAUUUCAGUCUCCGUAAAAAGGUUUUGAAAAAGCGGGGCUAAGUUUGUUGAAUCAGGCAACGUUAACGUGCCUUCUUCACCUGCUACCACCCUUUUCAACCUCUCACAAAAUAGUCGGAGGUGGACGUCCAGCAUAUCUCCUUCUCUCUGUGGCACCCAGAGGUAUUGUUAUUUGCUCCAAGAAAUGUUAAAAGGAUUGGUCCUAUCUCAAAGAGGUUAGUGGUGUAAAGUUAAACACAAUGGAAGAAUUUGAAAGGAAUAUACCAAGAAACUGUGUAAGUGGCUAAAUUCCACAAAUAUGGCAUUGUUGCUCAUUUUUAACUCAAAAAAAUACACGUUAAUUUAGCGAAAAGUCCAAGACACGUGCUUUUUGAAAAGAACAGGUAUCCCAAUAGGUAUCCAACCUUUAUCUUAAUCAAUUACUACCAUGACAUACUUGAUGGUGCUUAAAUCAAUUUUUCUUUUCUUAAUGUAAAGAUUUUAUUUUUUUAAAACAGAUUUUAAUAUCAAGAAAAAAUAUCACUCGUAUAUCCUUAAAUGACACUUGUAUCAAACGUACUACAACACUUUUAACAUGUAUCACUUGUAUACCUUAAGUUGACAAAUUGUGUCUACCAUCCACCAAACCGUUAGUUGCCGUUUGCAAGCGCUGACAUCAUAAAGGUAAUCUAGUCUUUUCAAAUGGAAGAAACUUUGAUUAAAAAAACGACAUGUCAUCCCAUUUACCUCGUAAAAAAUGACAUAUCAUAUGAUAUAUAUUGACAAAAAAUGACAUGUCAUCCCAUUUAUCGGAAGAUGAUGUCAUCUAUGUGAAACAACGUUGUUUCAACGGGACUAAAAAAAAAAUGAUACUCCACAACCGAAUCGACUCCUCCAAACUUUAACUUGAAUAUUUGAAGAUCUACUCAUCCAAGCUCCAACUGGAAUUUUUUAUGGUAUAAUAUGUUGUUAAUAAUUUUUUAUGGUAUAAUAUGGAUUAUUUUUUAUGGAUAAUUGUUAAUAAUACGUACCAUUAAUAAUUCAUUUUUUAAUAAAAAAUGUAUUGUUAAUAAAAAAUAAAAAAUAUAUUGAAAAUUUACGUUAAUUUUUUGGGCAAAUAUGUAUUUUUACCUUAUUUUGAGUUUCAAGGGCGAAAUAGUCAAUUUGUCAUAAUUCUGUUAACUUUCUAAUGGUAGCUAACAGUUUGGUGGACAGCAGACACAUUUUGUCAACUUAGGGUGUACGAGUAAUACAUGUUAAAAGUGCUGCAAUACGUUUGAUACAAGUGUCAUUUAAAGGUAUAUGAGUGAUACAUGUUAAAAGAGUUGUAGUACAUUUGAUACAAGUGUCAUUUAAGGGGAUAUAAGUGAUAUUUUCCCUAAUAUCAAAUUGCCUUCGAUGUUUUUACAGCUACAAGCUCAGUAACAGGAUUAAUUAAAAAGUUUAGAAUUGUUGGGCGUGCAAAGAGUAGUUUUAAACACCAGAAAGCAAAGGUUGUUAUUGACAUAAUUUUAUUUUUGUUUUCGAGGGAAUUUGUUUUUUUUGUUGACAAGAAAAUAGUAUUAUAUUUUACAAUCUAUUAUACAUAUUUUAUCAUAUUAAAGUAAUUUUAAUAUUAAAUGGAAACAUUAAAUUUAAAUUAAUUAAUUAAAAAUUGAAUUAUUUUGAAUAUUAUGUAAAAAAUUAUUUUAAUAUCAUUAAUAAGGAGAUAUUUUGUUAAUUGUAAAAUAUUUUUAACCCAAAUAUAUAUUAAAUUUUUUAUAAUAAAUACAAAUACAAAUAUAAAAAUAAAAUAAAUAUCAUAGUUUAAAAUUUUAAUGUUAUUUUAAAUAUUAAAAAUAAUUUAAUGCUAUUAGUCUAUUACACAGGUUAUAUUAUAUUUGCAUUAAUUAAAAGUUUUAAAGUCAAUUUUCCAGUUUCUAUAUUCAAAGGUAUAAUGGUUAAAAGAAAGUUCUUGGUGUUUCUUUUUAAAAAUUUGAGGGUCUUAAUGAUAAUUUUUCUAAAUCGUAAGGGUAUAGGUGUCUUUUUUUCCGAUAAUUUAUUUCACGGGUAUCCAAUAAGAAACAUGGUAAGAGAACGUCAAUUACUUAUCAUUUUCUAUUUUUUCUAUGAGUCAUUUAUUUUGAGCAUUAGUGAUCUUAUCUGGACUACUCCAACUAUUGAUGCAACUCCAGUGGCUGCAUCCACAGUUAAAUAUAUGAUAGUGUUAGCUCUUAUUUGAGAAUUUAGAGGGAUCUUUCUUUGUUUCUCUGUUGCAAUGUGCUAGUAUAAAUUUCUUUACCUUAAAAUUUAUAUAGUCUUGCAGUUAAAGAAUUCACUGAGGCAUUGUUGAUUCAAUUUCAGUGAAGCAAUUGUGGGUGAAAGAUAAAUGAAGGAAAAGAGAACAGAGCUGAAGUGCUAAAUUGGCUAUUGAAGAAGGAUGUCACAUGAUCACAAUCACAUUGAUGCACAACUCUCUGGAGGCAAAGUUUGUCUAUAUGUACUCUGAAUUCAGCCAAGCCAUACAUGCAUGAACAAAAAUUAAACCGUAGUUCUAAUCACAACAGUAAUUGAAGCUACAAAAGCCAGCAAAUCUGAACGAAGACUUAAAAGAAAGAUCUUAUUCAAGUUUGUCCCCAAAAGACAGCUGAAAUGAAAAAUAUUGACUGUUGAAUGGGCCAAUGCUGAAUUACAUUUCAAAUGGAAAGCUUGGCAGCAGUUACAAUGUUUCCCCCUCUGAUUUUCCUCCAAAACAAAUUCAGUUGUAAACAAUAACCGAAGUAGUAAUAAUUUAUUCAUCAAAGAAAAUGCCCCCAAGUUUUCAAUUAAAAAAUCCUCUUGUCCAAACUAAAAGAACUCAUAUCUCUAAAAUUUAUUUGCAAAAUGUUGGAAAUGAGGAGUGAUCCGUUAACUCUGUAAAUAAACUCAUGCAUAAUGUUAACAAUAAUGAUAAAUUACAUAAUAAUUAUUAUAGAGAAUCAUAAAUUGGAAACGCUAAUCAUUCUACUAUUAUAUAAGUAAGAUAAAUAUCAUAAUAAGUUAAGUUAUAAUGUAAUAAAUAUUUGCAAUAUAUAAUUAUUUAAGAAGUCAUUUAACAAUAAAAUAUUUUUUUAUCCAGUUGAUCAUAUAGCGUUAUCUAAACUCUUGACAAUAUUAUUAUUACUCACUUUUCUCAAAAAAACAUGAUUAACUUUUAGAGAAAGUCAUGUCUUUGAGAAAGAAUAUGUAUACAAGCUAUCCAUACUUUAUCUUACUGUGACAAAAUUGAUGGUGAUUAAUUGUAUUUUUUAAAAUAGAUUUAACGCACAAAUAAGAUGACUUUUGGCAAAAAUUAUUUUCGGAAGAUAUAGUGAUAGAAAAUAGUGAUGAUAAUUAUUGUUUAAAUGUGUAAAUAGCCUAAGCAUAGCCCGUAAUACCAAUAUUCAUUUGCACCUUGAAAGAAACUUAGUUCUAUAUUGUUUGGCAAGCAAGAAAGUAAAGGAAAAUGAAAGAGAACUCUAAAGAACCUUUUUUAUUAUACUCAGAUAUCUCAACUUAAUGAAUACUGAUUGACAUUUAUACUAAGCUACAAUCUUCACUACACACACGAGUUUGUAACAUCACAUAACCAUUUGCUGCAUAACUAACUUUACACAUCAGCUCAACCAGCUAACUAACUUUGACAGGUCAGCUCAGUGAGUUGAUCUGCUACAACCAGCUACACAGCAACAGCAUGCUCUGCUCCAGCUAUACAGCAACAUCAUGCUCUGUUCCAGCUUUAUCCGCUCUGCUUUGCUCUGCUCCAGCUUUGACAGGUCAGCUCAGUGAGUUGAUCUGCUACAACCAGCUACACAGCAACAACAUGCUCUGCUCCAGCUAUACAGCAACAUCAUGCUCUGCUCCAGCUUUAUCCAAUUCACUAACAUCCCCCCUCAAGCUAAAAUGUUUAGGAUGAACAUUCAGCUUGCUUCUGAAGUAACUGAAUUGUUUGAAAGUAAGAGCCUUAGUUAACACAUCUGCUGUUUGAUCUGGACUAGGCACAUAGCAUACUGCAACCUCUUUAGCAGUGACCUUAUCUCGGAUAAAAUGUAUAUCCAAUUCAACAUGCUUAGUCUUAGCAUGAUAAACUGGAUUAUAAGCUAAAGCAAUUGCUCCUUGAUUAUCACACCACAUUAUAGGAGUGGAGCUUAAUGUGAUACUAAGUUCACCAAGUAAGGAUUUAAUCCAGGUAACCUCUGAAGCAGCAUGGGCAAGAGAUCUAUACUCAGCUUCUGUGCUGGAUCUGGAAACAACAACUUGUUUCUUUGACGACCAGGAAACAAGAUUAGGACCUAGAUAAACAGCAAAGCCAGCCACUGACUUCCUAUCAUCAUGAUCACAAGCCCAAUCAGAAUCUGAAAAACAAUGUAAUUGCAGAGCUCCUUGAUUGUAGAAAUGCAGCCCCAGAUGGAUAGUGCCUUUUAAGUACCUCAAUAACCUUUUACAUGCUUCCCAAUGUUGAGUUCUAGGACUGGAAAGGAACUGACUUAACUUGUUUACAGAGAAGGCAAUGUCAGGUCUGGUAAGAGUAACAUAUUGAAGAGCUCCUAUAACACUUCGAUAUUGAGAAACAUUUUCAAGUGGCUCUCCUGAGUCUUUGGUGAGAUAAAAGCCUGUAGACAUUGGAGUUGGCACAGGACUGCAGUCUGUCAUGCCAUGUUUAUCCAGAAUAUUAGCAAUGUACUUUGCUUGUGUCAAGGAAACCCCUUGUGAAGAUUUGCUGACUUCAAUCCCCAGAAAAUAGUGAAGUUCCCCCAGGUCUUUUAAAGCAAAAGCUUGAUGCAUAUGCUGGAUAACUUGUUGAAUUAUGGAUGGACUGGAACCAGUGAUGAUAAUAUCAUCAACAUAGACCAAAACAACAGUUAGAUGACCACUGUUCCAGGCAUAAAAGAGAGAGUUAUCAGACCUGGAAUGCUGAAAAUGCCACUUGGAGAUCAUUGCAUCCUUAAACCUAUCAAACCAGGCUCUAGGAGCUUGUUUUAAGCCAUACAAAGCCUUAUUUAGCUUGCAGAUAUGAUUAGGUUUAGUUGAAUCAACAAAACCUUGAGGUUGAGCCAUGUACACAUCUUCAAUUAAAAUGCCAUUUAGAAAGGCAUUGUUAACAUCCACCUGCCUUACAACCCAGUGACUCAAUACUGCUAAGCUAAGAAUAACUCUAACAGUGGAGGACUUAACCACUGGACUGAAGGUUUCUGUGUAGUCAAUCCCAUGUGUCUGAUGAAACCCUUUAGCCACAAGCCUGGCUUUAUACCUUGAAACUGAACCAUCUGAGUUAUACUUUACUCGAAAUACCCACUUGUUGCCAACUAUCUUCACUGGAGUAGCAGGUAAGACUAAAUCCCAGGUGUGAUUGGUUUUAAGAGCUAGAUACUCUUCUUGCAUAGCUUUAUACCACAUAGGAUCAGAAAGUGCUUUGGAAACAGAGGUUGGUUCUGACUUCUGAGCUAGUAAAGCUGACAAGUAGAUCUUGGGCUUGAAGAUACCUGCUUUUGACCUGGUUAUCAUUGGAUGACCAGAUGAUGCAGGUUGUGACAAGGUAUGUGGAGGUGAAUGAUGGGAUGGUGAAGAAGGAGAAGAAGAAGUGGAAUUGAAAUUAUCAGAAAAGUAAACUGGAGUAGAAUUUGGGAAGGAAAUAGAAGCAUGUGACUGAGAAUCAUUAAGAAGAUAUUCUGAUGAUGCUGCUAAAGGUGCUUGUAACUGAGUAACAAAAGGAGUAGAAGAAUUAAAAGAAGACUCAGAAUGAGUUGAUGACUGACAGUUUGAAGAAACUGAAGAAAAAUCUGUUCCUGACUCAUAAGGAAAAGAACGUUCAUAAAAGGUUACAUGAUUUGAAAUAUAGACCCUCCCAGAAGAGUGAAGACACUGAUAUCCCUUGUGUUGUGAACUGUAGCCAAUGAAUAUACAUCUAGCUGUUCUGAAAUCAAACUUAUGUCUAUUGUAUGGUCUGAGUGUUGGAUAACAAGCACAGCCGAAAAUUUUAAGUGUUGAAUAAUCUGGUUGGGAAUGAAACAACUUUUGAAAAGGAGAAAUGCUGUUUAGAACUGGAGUUGGAAGUCUGUUUAUCAAGUAGACAGCUGUAUGGAAUGCAUUCCACCAAAAUUUGAGUGGUAAAUGUGCUUGAGCUAAUAAAGUCAGUCCUACAUCAACUAUGUGUCUAUGUUUCCUCUCAAUUUUUCCAUUUUGAUGAUGAAUGUGGGGGCAAGGAUGUCGAAAAUGGAUGCCAGAAGUGGUGAGUAAUGAUGAAAAUGUUCUGAACUCCCCUCCCCAGUCAGUUUGGACAGUUUUGAUGGAAAGUUGAAGAUGCUUCUCAAUGAAUAUUUUGAAAUUGGUAAAAACUUCAAGAGCAUCAGAUUUUGCUGAUAAGGGAAAAAUCCAGGUAAACCUACUGUAAUCAUCUAGGAUUGACAAGUAGUAAUUAUAUCCUUGGGUAGAACAAACAUGAGAAGGGCCCCAAAGAUCUGCAUAUAUCAGUUGUAAAGGUGCUGAAGUUUUUGUUUCUACUGAAUCAAAAUGCAGCAUGUGAUUUUUACCAUAUUGGCAUGCUGAACAAAAUUUCAAACUGUCAACUUUAUUAAAAGCAGUAGAGUUGUUACAAGCUUUGAGAAUGGUUUUGAGAGUAUAAGAUGCUGGGUGUCAUAAUCUUCUAUGAAGAAGAUUUACAUCAAUAGAACCCUUUACAACAACUGACAGACAUGACUUUUUAUUCAACUCAUAAGAGCUAACAGUAGAGAGCUGAGCAGAAUUAAAAACAGGAGAACAAGCAAAAAGAGACUGAAUUUUGUUUUGACCAACUGAACUGAGAAAGACUGAAUGAACAGCAGCAUGAGAAGAGACUUUAUACAAGCUGUUGUGCAAAUUUUAAUGUACUCGCAAGCGCACGAAUCUAUUAUAGUAUAGAUCAAUGGUGACGAGUGUCGAUCCCACGAGGAGGUAGAUUUUAAUUGUGUAUAGAAUUAAUUUUGCAAAUGGUUGAUUGGAUUUGUAGUGGAAAUGAUUAGGAAUAUGCUAAAACUUAAAUUAAAAUGGCGAGAAUAAAUUCUAAAAUUGGAAUUGCAAUGGCGAGAAUAAAUUGAAGAGAAAUGUAUUGAAAUGACGUACUUGGGUAUCUGGAUCCGUAUCAACAUGCAUCAUGGGCUAAAUAAUCCGUAUUAAUGCCAAUUAAAUCAUGAGGGGGGAAUCCACACCUCAUGAACCACGCUCUAAUCAAUAUGGUGCUAAGGGCUUAUCGUGCCAAAUAAUAAUAACCUUAUACUAGAGAGCCGGUGUAACCAAGGCGGUAUCUAGACAAGAUCAGUAUUAUUUGUCGACGAUAAGUCAAAUCAUCCACAAAAACUAGAGGGGAAAAGAAAAUAAAUUUACCAAAUAAAGCCCAUGACACAUGUUGAGACUUCACCUUCAACCCAAGCUUGAAAGGAAAUUAGCUACUCAUAAUUGAACUAGGGGCAAAAUGGGAAUUUAUUAAAAUACAAAGAAAAUACAAGAUGGAGAGGGAAUUACAGAAAAUGGAUCCCAAAAAUGGAUUCAGAGAUAUCAAAUUAGGGGGGGAGGCCCAUUUUUUAUAGAUACAUGGAGUAAAUCAUGGCCAUCGGAUUAAAAACAGUUUGGACGCUCAGGAUUGCGCCACGUCAUCAGUCAACAGUCAACGGUUUGACCACGCGGAUGAACAGUAACAUGGUUUGGUUGAAAAUAAUCCUGUGUGAUGCAUACACCGUACGCGAGAUUUUUCGUCCACUGAUAUGCUGCCACGUCACCAUCAACAGUACAUAAGAAUUUUAGUCCAACAGGAUCGUGACACCUCAUCAGUCAAUGCCACAUCAUCGGUCAAUGCCACGUCAUCGAUCCGUCUAUGUGAACAGUGUCGUGAACAGUAACGUAGACAGUACCGUAUACGUGAAUAGUACCGUACAUGUGAAUAGUGCCAUUUUUCCUUUUAUGCUCCUCCUAAGGUUUUCGACCGUCCUGAGUUCAAAAGUGAUGUCCGUUUUGCCGUCUGAUCUCUCCUUUAUUGUGAAAUGACUAUAAUGCCCCUAAAAUACAUAAAAUACUUAAUUAAAAUAACACACACGUAAUUACAUCACAAGAGGGUUAAAUACAUAAAAGUAAGGGUUGUUAGUAAGACUUGAAACGUAAAAUGACGGUUUUCUCCUUUAUAAAUAUGCAUUUUCUAACACUCAACACAAGCCACCUUUAGCAACACCUUCAAGUAAAAUUUUCCCUGUGUUCCUGGCCUUUAUAAAACACAAAUUACCAAGAAAUUCAACAGUAACUGGAUUGUCAGCCAACAAUUUUGAGAUGCUAAGCAAAUUCUUAGUAAUAAAAGGGACAUGAAGAACAUGGUUAAGAAAUAAGGAUUGAGAAGCUGAAGUAUUUAGCACAACUGACCCUACAUGUGUAAUAGCUAAUGCAUUUCCAUCUCCAACAAAUAACCUUUCAGUACCAGUGUAAACUUUUGAAUCCAGAAGCUUACCUAGAUCAUUGGUAAUAUGAUUUGUUGCUCCACUAUCAAUAUACCAGGAAGGAUCUUCAAUGUGUUCAGGUGGGAGUGAAGAAGACAUAGCAGAGGAGGAGGAAGCACUUGACUGUUCCAGAUUAUUAUGUCCUAGACAGAAACAAAAUUAGAUGAUCCAGGGUUGAAUGAGAAAUAAGCAGAUGGGUUGCUUUCUGGAUAUACUAUAUUUCCUUGAUAGCCAAAACCCCUGGGGGCAUUACCAAAACCAACAUUUUGUCCAAAACCAGCAUUUGAACCAAAACCUCCAAAACCUCUUCCACUAUUACCAUUAAAGGCUCUUCCUCGACCAUAUUGCCCUUGAUUAAAACCUCUGCCACCAUUCAUAUUACCUCUACCAUGGUUCCUCUGUGGAACAAAAGAUGAGUUGUACCUAUUUCUGCAUUUAUAGGCUGCAUGACCAGGUAUGAAGCAAAUUUGGCAAACAACUUCAGAGAAAUUACUAUUAUUAUUAAACUGACCAUAUCCAUAUCCAGAAUUAUUACCACCUCCAGAGUUAUUUCCAUACUGUUUCUGAAAAUUUCCAUUAUUCUUUCCAGCAUAUGAGUUCUUCUGAACAAUAUUUGCUGUCAUGUUAUGCAUCACAUCACCAGCAAUUUUUCCUUUCUUUUGCUCAACUCUAUUUUCAUGAUUCAACAGCAAAGAAUAUAGUUCAUCUAAUGUUAUCUUUUCACCUCGAGCUAACACAGCAGUGACUAAAGAUUCAUAAUCUGAUGAAUCAAGACCAGUUAAUACAUGCAUCACAAGAUCAUUUAACUCAACAGGUUUUCCAGCUAGAGCUAAAGUAUCAGCUAUACGUUUUACUUUUACAAAGUAAUCAGACAUAUGCAUUGCACCUUUCUUAAUAGUUUGAAUCUGCAUUCUAAGUGUUUGAAUUCUAGCUUGUGAUUGAGAGAUAAACAUACUAGCAAGAGUCUCCCAAAGCUGUUUUGAGGUUGUUGAGUCAAUCACAGUAGCAAGCAGAUUUUGUUGUAUCAAUGACAUCAUCCAACUCAGCAGAAGUUGAUCAGCCUUCAUCCAAGCUACGAACUCUGGAUUAACAGAUCUGGAUCCAGAUUCAGUAACAGAUCUGGAUCCAGAUUCAAUUAAGAUUUCAGCUCCAUUGUUGUUGCCAGAAGAAAGAAACUGCUCAGGACAUUCUCGAUCACCAUUGAUAAAACCUUCCAAACCAUUUCCUUUGAUCGAAGCUAGAAUUUGUGUGCGCCACAAAAUAUAGUUGUUUUGAUCUAGCUUUACAGGCGUAACAAAACUAAAAGAGUUGUUGUUUUGAACUGUAUUUGCCAUUUAUGGCUCUGAUACCAUGAAAGAAACUUAGUUCUAUAUUGUUUGGCAAGCAAGAAAGUAAAGGAAAAUGAAAGAGAACUCUAAAGAACCUUUUUUAUUAUACUCAGAUAUCUCAACUUAAUGAAUAUUGAUUGACAUUUAUACUAAGCUACAAUCUUCACUACACACACGAGUUUGUUACAUCACAUAACCAUUUGCUGCAUAACUAACUUUACACAUCAGCUCAACCAGCUAACUAACUUUGAUAGGUCAGCUCAGUGAGUUGAUCUGCUACAACCAGCUACACAGCAACAGCAUGCUCUGCUCCAGCUAUACAGCAACAUCAUGCUCUGCUCCAGCUUUAUCCGCUCUGCUCUGCUCUGCUCCAGCUUUGACAGGUCAGCUCAGUGAGUUGAUCUGCUACAACCAGCUACACAGCAACAGCAUGCUCUGCUCCAGCUAUACAGCAACAUCAUGCUCUGCUCCGGCUUUAUCCAAUUCACUAACACACCUUCAUUUGUGUUAUCACAUUUCAUGAUAUUCUUUCAUUUAUGACCAUUGUUCAAGAUUUUAAUUUGAUUAUAAACUAAGUUGCAAGGGAGCUUACUUCAGUUUCUAAGCUUUUCAAUCGUGAUUCCUGCAUGCCAAACGUAACUGACCUUAUAAUUGGUCUGUAUAAGAAAUCAAGCCCUUUCAGGAUCGUUUUCUUUUUCUCCCUAUUGUAGUAGUCAACUAAAUAAAGAAUGAACAACUAAACUUGGUCUAUUUCGAGGAAGACUAAGGCUUCCAAUACUAGAUGAACUUUGAAGAAAAUUAAUCCGUUGUUUUUAUUCAUCUUUGGACUAUGAAUUUAUACAAAGACUUUAACAGAAAAUAACAAAGACACAGCUAAAUGAUAGCAAUAAGUGCUGACUUGGUGGACCACUUCUGCAAGUAAAUAAAAACUAAAUAUUUAUUUUGACUAUAACAACAACUACGCUGAUGAAUAGGAUUUCACAGCAGCCACGUGACAACUAAUUUCUCCUUAAUAUUAUUAUUAGUAGAAGUAGAUUUUAAAACUAGUCUUGAUAUAUUUCAAAGUUGUAUUAUCAAUGUAUAUGUGUCUAGAUUGUAACUAUAUUUUAAAAAAUAUAAAAUUUUUAAUUAUUGCACAGUAUAUGUAGCAAAAUAUCUAUAGAAUGAUAUUAUUAGGACUAAGAUUUUUUUUUAUUUUAGAUAAGUUAUUUAUUUAUUAUCGAAUGAAUAAUUUAUUAAUUUACUGAUAAAUGAAUAUUUAUUAAUUUAAAGAGAGAUUUUUUUGGUUUUAACAAGAGUUUGUUUGGUAAAUGUACACACUUAUAAAGAAACAUAAAAAGUGGUUCCUCAAGUCAAUAGUAUUUGCUUCAAUCGCAAUGGUUCAUAAUAAUAUAGCAUAGUUAGGAAAUUUGUAAUUAUAUUAUGGCUCUGUUUGGUAGUAAAACUCAUUUAAGUAGAGUUGUUGUUAAUAGAGCUUUUAUAAAUAAAGCUUUUACUAAAAAAAAUUUAGUUGUUUGCUUGUCAAUGUCCAAAUUGAUAAACUUUUGUUCUUUUGUUAAGAUAUGUUUGUUUUACUUAAUAAUAGCAUCGGCAAGAGUUUUCGAUUGUUGCAACUUGCAAUGCACGCGGUGAGAGAAAAUGAGAAUCUUGUUUAAUUGUCAAUAUAUAAUGACAAACCUAAUCCUUUCAUUAGGAGUAAUUUAAUAAUCGUUUGUUAUAACUGAAUAUGUAUAAAGAAAGGAAAAUUCUAUUCAUAAAUUUCGACUUAUUUUUUGUUUAAAGUAAUUAAUCAUUCAACCAUCUUCAUUUGCCUCUGGCCAAUGCCCUUGUAGAUUAGUUUACUUAAUUAUGAUUAUAUACAUUUUCAUAUAGCAAGUGGCAUUGUAGAUCUAAACUAAGUUGCUAUUUCAAUACCAGCAAAUUCAAAAUAGAAAAGGAGUGCAACUAUUCAACUUUGUAGACAAUAUUGCAACCAUGGCAUAUUUAUAGCAAAUCAUUGAAAUCUGCUAAAGAAAACAAUGCCCUGUCUCAUGAAUCGAUGCUCAAUUAAAAUUUAAAUUGAAAGUCCGGCUGGUGUUGUUUUCCUCUCCAGCGAAAUAAGAAUCAUAAGUGAAAAUAGGCUUUGACAGGUCUUAUUUCUUUGUUUCUCUGCUGCAAUGUGUGGUUAUCCCACUCUGUUUUGCCACUCAAGCUGAGUCUACGUUGAGACAUUAUUUCAGUAUUGAGGUAACAAUAAUUUCGGACUCCGUAAGAAGGUUUUGAAAAAGUGGAGUCACAUUUGUUGAAUCAGGCAACGUCAACGUGCCUUCUUCACCUGCUAACACCCUUUUCAACCUCUCACAAAAUAGUCGGAGGUGGACGUCCAGCAUAUCUCAUUCACAUUUGUUGAAUUUGCAUGGAAUUUGCAAGGAGUAUGCCAAAGAAUUUGCAAGGAAUAUGCCAAGAAUUUGCAAGGAAUAUGCCAAGAAACUGGCCAACCCGCUUAGCUUAAUUCCACAAAUAUGACGUUAUUGCUCAUUUUUCUCUCAAGCACAUAAUACACGUUCUUCGAGACGCGUGCCUUCUGAAAAGGACAGGUAUCCAACCUCAUCUUAAUUACUACCAUGACAUAAUUGAUGGUUGCUUAAAUCAAUUUUUUCUUCUUUUUUUUUUUUAAUUUAAAGAAUUUUCCCUUAAAAAAAAUUUAAUAUCAAAAUGCCUUCAAUGUUAUUACUGCCGAAAGCCAAACUUCCUUUGGGUAAUUAAUUUAGAAGUGAAGCAGAGAAUAAAGUCCUAGAUGCCUUUUGAAAUUAGAAAUACAUUUUAUAUGCUUUAAUUAAUCAAUUCACUGAGGCAUUAUUGAUCCAAUCCCAGUGAAGUAAUUGUGGGUGAAAAAAAAAUAAAGUGCUGAAUUGGCUACUAAGAAAGAGUGUCACUUGAUCACAAUCACAUUGAUCCACAACUCACUCGAGGCAAAUUUCAUCUAUGUGUACUGCAAAUUUAGCCAAACCAUACAUGCAUGAACAAAAUUAGGCCGUAGUCCUCAUCACAACAUUAAUUGAAGCCACAAAAGCCAGCAAAUCCAAACAAAAACUUAAAAGAAAAUGCUUGGUAUAGAGAAGCACGAGAGAAAGACGAGAAAAACAAUGAAGAAAGUGGUAGAGAGAGAGUGAGUGGGUAGAGAGAGAGCAAAAUUCUCUCGUCUUUCUCUCGUGCUUCUCUCUCUCUAUCACUACUCAAACUUAAAAGGAAGAUCUUAUUCAAGUUUGUCCCCAAAAGACAGCUGAAAUGAAAAAUAUUGACUAUUGAGUGGGUCGAUGCUGAAUUACAUUUGACAUGGAAAGCUUGGCUGCAGUUGCGAUGUUCCCCCUUCUGAUUUUCCUCCAAAACAAAUUCAUUUGUAAACAAUAACGGAAGUAGCAACAAUUUAUUCAUUAUAGAAAAUACCUAAAUUUUCAACUAUCAAAUCCUCUUGUCUAAACUAAAAAACUCAUAUCUCUAAAAUCUAUAUACAAAAUGUCAAAAACGGGUGAUCUCUCAAUUCGAUAAAUAAAUUCAUGCAUAAUGUUACUAGUAAUGAUAAAUUACAUAAUAAUUAUUAUAAAGAAUCAUAAAUUGGAAACAUUAAUCAUUUUACAAUAUAUUACAUAAUAAAGAUAAAUUUUAUAACAAGUUAAGUUAGAACAUAUCAAAUAUUUUCAAUAUAUAUAAUUAUUUAAGAAGUCUUUUAACAAUAAUUUUUUUCUUUUUCAGUUAAUCAUGUCAUAUACCGUUAUCUAAAAUGCUGGCGAUAUUAUUAUUCCUCACUUUUCUCAAACAAAAAAGAAAAGAAAAAAGAAACAUGAUUAACGUUUAGAGAAAAGUCACGCCUUUUAAAAACAAUAUGUAUACAAUAGCAAUCCAUACUUUAUAAAAUUGAUGGUGAUUACAAAGAAAAAUUGUUUAAAAUAGAUUUAAUGCACAAAUAUGAUGACUUUUGGCAAAAAUUAGUUUCGGAAAUGUUGGGAUGAAAACCAUAUUAAUUGAGAAUUAAAAUUACUUAAUAAAAUUACUUAACUACCAUCUAAUAGAUGAAAACCAUAUCAAUUGGGACUUAAAUUAAGAUUUAAAUGUUGAAAUAUCUAGCAUUACUCACAAUAACCAAUUCAAAUUAUGACUAUCAUGUAGAAGCAAAUGUUUAUGCUUGGGUUUUUUACUUCUUGAAUUUGAUUGGAAAAAUUUCUGAGAUAGAGAAGUGUUUUGGAUAAUUUUUUCGGGAUUGAAACCACAAAUUGGUAGAGGAAAUUAAUUUUGGACAAAUUUUUCUUAUAUUGUAGGACCUUCUAGUUGGAGUAGUGAUGGCUUUGUCUUCAUUUUUGGUUCCUUUUGUGUCAGCAACCCCUUACUAUUCUCUUGACCCUGAGUUUGAGAUAGAAAUUUAUCAACCUCCAACCCCACAUCCACAAACAAGUUGAUUGAAACAAUUACUCUUUUAAUUAAGAGGACCCAAAUGAUUUAGGUUUCAGUUCUUAUCAUUUGUCUAUUAUUUCUUUGAAACAUUUAUUUUGAGCGUUACUGAUCUUAAUUAUCUGUAUUUCUCCAAUUAUUGAAGAAUUUCAAGUGGCCACUUUUUCUCCUUUUUAUAUAUGUUUAUUUUUUGGAGUGAUCAAACGGGUGAAAAAUCAAGUAUUCGCUGGUCUGUAGUUUAGCCAACGAUGGCUGAUCCACACAGUUGAUUAUAUGAUACUAUUAGCUCUCAAAAUCUUUCUUAUUUGAGAACAUAAAUUGCCCAUUGAAGUUAAACUAUGUUACCCAGCUCCAUGCACAUACAUUAAAUGUUUAGGUAGUUUUACAAAAUGAUAACAGCAUGCCAAAACUUGAUGUUGUCAUAUUCGACAUUUCAAAUUGAAAAAUAUGCAAGCAAUCUUCAGUGACCAUUACGUUUUUAUUGAAUAAUUUAAAUGGCCAGUAAAUCAACAGUCCGUGAGUUUUAAAUCUGUUAUGACUUAAUGUAUCUUUCUGUAUUCGUACACAGGUUAUAUUAUCAUAGUUUAAAAUUUUAAUAUUAUUUUAAAUGUUAUAAAUACUUUAAUGCUAUUAGUCUACUACACAGGUUAUAUUAUUUAUAUUAUAUUUGUAUUAAUUAAAACUUUUAAUGUCAACUUUCUAAUUACUAUAUUGAAAAGGUAUUAUGGUUAAGAAAAAGUUUUGGCAUUUCUUCUAAAAAAUUUGAGGGUAUGCAUGACAACACUACAAGAAAAAUGACCUACCAUGACAGUCCUCUGUGUGACAGUUUUUGGUCUGCAGAGCUACUACGAUAGAUGGAUGAUAAAUUUUUUUUCUAUCAUUCAUUUAUGACAUACUUGUGAUAGAAAUUUCAUCUAUCAAGCACUUAUGAUAGACUGAUGAUAAAUUAUUUGGUUAUCAAGAAGUAAUGACAAGUUUGUGAUAUAAUUUAGAUCAUCAAGUAGCUUUUUUAUUUUGACUUUAUUUCACAAGGUUGACUGAAAAUUUUAAAAUGAAUGAAAAAAAUAAAUAAAGAAUAAACGGUACCGUUUGGAUUAAAAGUUUCUCUUUGGACAAGAAACGACACCGUUUAGAUUGAAGCUAAAUAAAAACAAAACCCUCUUCAGUUUUCACUAAUCGAAUUUUUUUUCCCUAAGUGUCGGCACUCUCACUCACUCUCGUCUCUCGCUCAGUCAUUCUCGUCAAUCUCACACUCACAAAGCCCUUUUCACCCGAAAUCCUUGCAUGGGCACUGAACCACUGCCGCCAUUCUCUUGUAUUUGACUAUCAAUUUUGGCUCUCACCGAGAACUAUAUGGAAUACCCACCAAACGCAUGUGCUUCUACUAUUGAAUUUCAAUACCCUAACUGAGAGCCCACGCUCACCCACUAUUGUAACCGUUCGAUCAAUACAGGUAAAUAAUAUUUCUAGUGUUGUGUUCCAUUUCAAUUUUAAUGUUCUUGUCAAACUCGAACCCUAUAUAUGUAAACUUAAAAACCCUAGAUGUGUUCUUGUCAAAUUCGAACCCUACACACCUAAAUCUUGUAAAACCUAGAUGUUUUCUUGUCAAAUUUGAACCCUGUACGUGUAAAACUUGAAAAUCCUAGGUGUGCUCUUGUUAAAUUUGGAUCUAUUUGAUUGGUCUUCUAUGUUUCUUUAUUUAUGGAAUUUUAAACAUUUAUUUGAUUUUUUUGGAAUUUAAUUAUUAUAGUUUUAUUGUUAAAUUAAUUUGAUUUAGGCUGUAAAGAUCCUUGCCAAUUUAAUCGUGAUGGGUGUUGGGAUAUUGUCUAGGCUGCUUUAUCUUUGGGGUUUUCUAAUAACUAAUUUUUUUUUUUCACUUUUUUGUGGAUGCAUGGAACUAUAUAUAUAGAUAAUUCUCAAAUUCGUUCACUGUGAUGCAAAGUCUUUUUUUUUUCAAUUUCAUUGGUUAAAUUCACUAAUUCGUUGAAAUUAGUGGUGAUUGUGGGCCGAGUCGCAUGUGCAGGAAGUGGUGUCAGGUCUGGGCGCACAUUGAGUCAUGCACUUGGUGGGCAAUUGGUAUUGUUUCUAUUGUGUGUGUUGGAAAUAAUGUCAAUAUCAUCCAACCAAUGUGUGUUUCUAGUGGCUGUUUUUGCACCGAGCAGAUAAUUUAUUAUUACAUCAGAGUUCCCCAUCCCUUGUUUCUCUUUUGGGUAAUGCAGGUAUUGACUAGUUCAUUUCCAUUUUCAUUUGUCUUGAGGGAAUGUUAUCAAUUUUUCGAUCUUACAAGAUAUUGAUUGAUACAUAUGUGUACAAUACAUUAAAAAUCAUUAAACAUUUUGCUCUUAGUUACAAUUUUGAAUGAAUGUCACAUGGAAAGAUCCUCUAAGAAUAUCAAUAGUAUUGUGGUUUCUACUCAAUUUCCACUCUCCGCACUCAUAUGAGCAUGGUUUGAAUCUCAAGCCUUUUGUACCAUUCAAAAAUUUAUACCAAUUAACAACAUAGCUUGCUAGCACCACAAAUUGUUUCAACUCCAAGGCAGAGAAUUCCUAGAAGAUAUAUACAUAUUGAUAUAUACUUGCAUGUAGCCGUAUGCUCACUACCUUCGAAUUGGGGAUAUAGUCACUAUUUUUGUAUUCCCUCCAAGUGUUUGAUAAAAAGCAUGAAUGAAUCUUGGCUCUUUAAUUGUUGCAGGCCAUUUCUACCUAUGAGGAGCAAAGGAAUAUGAAGCUUAUUAUAUUCAUUCACAAAGCAAAGCUGAUAUAAUUCAUGGCAAAGCUUGAUGAGGUGUUGUAUUUAAUCUUGCUCAUGAGAUCAAUUACCUAUCUUGUUGGACUUUAUUCUUGUAAUUAAGGUCCAUCCAAAGUUGAUGGCUUGUUUGUCAGAAAGAUAAUCUGAAGGCUAUGAUUGAUUACUUGCGGGCCGAUGGAAAUGUCUCCAUGAUUGGUUUAUGAGGUUGUUAAAUUACUAAAUAGGUAUAUUUACUUUUCAUGAGCUUUAUCUUCGUUUUUCCAUUAUGGAAAUGUCUCUAUGAUUGUAACUUUUAACACGUGGAACUCUUGAACCCUAUGUUUAGUUAUAUACUUAUAUUGGGACUUGUAUAAAUUAAUAUGAUGGUUUUAUUAUUAUUAUUAUUAGUAGUAGUAGUAGUAGUAGUAGCAGCUACAAAAGAUCAAAAGAACUUAAAGGUGUGGCUUGUGGCUUUCUUGCUGUUUGGGCUUUAACUGCUGCCUCACUUGUCAUUGUUGCUAAUCUGGUGUGCCACGUCCAUUUCAGUGUAAUUACAUAAGUUAGUUUGCUUGAUUAAUUAAUUAAUUAGUUAGCGGAUUGAAUAGCCAGAGUACUACAUUUUGCAUAGGUCUGAUGCUGGAUGAAUUUUCAUGUCUUGGCUUUGGGGCUGCUGGAUUUUGCUGCUGGAAGACUAGAUUUUGCAAUUUUGUUGCUGGAAGACUACAUUUUGUGUAGGUUUGUUGCUGGAUGUUGCUGAAUGCGGAGUACUUUGCUUGGUUUUGGAUUGGCCUUUGUUGUCUAUUGGCUCGACUUUGGAAUAUGGAUUAACUAAUGUAAUGUACUUUGGAUAUUUUUAUGGUUAAUAAAGUUCACUAAUUUAGUUCAUUAGUUUUGGAUUUAAUUGCAUUUAGUAAUUUAUUUUCUUUCAUAUAAUUUUAAUAAUUUUAAUAAUUUUAAUUUUUAAAUUUCAUAAUUUUUAUUUUAAAUUAAUAAAUAAAAUAAAUAAUCAAUUUUUUCAAAAAAAAUGUGAUAGAAAAUACUAGUCAUACACACAAUUGAUAUCCCAAAAAAAAAUACAAUCCAAAAAUUUCUAAAAAAAUGAAAAUAUAAAAUAAAAAAAUAAUUUCCCUCUUCUAAGUAGUAUGACAUAAUUAUGAUAGGUAAAAUCUAUCACAACUUGUGACGCGAUUUUAUCUGUCAUCUUUUCUUGACGCUGACUAUAAUGACAGUAAGGAUAACCGUCAUCUACCCCCUAAGAUGACAGUUUUUACCUAUCAUAAUAGGUCAUUUUUCUUGUAGUGCAAUUUUUCCAAUUCUAAGGGUAUAGGUUUGAAAAUUUAACGUUAUUUAACUUAAUGAAACAAAAGGGGAAACCAAGAACUAUUCAAUUUUGUAUUUUUUGUUUGUAAUUCAAAAAAUACAUCCACCAAACAAGUUUUACACAUUAAUGCUGUCAUAAAACGAAAAACAGUUUGCCAAAAAAUGGUACCGUCACAUGAUUUCUUAGUAAGUCCAUAUUAGAUAUAUUUAUACAUUUUAGGUAUUUUAGUUAUAAAAGAAGUUGGUCCUCCCCCUAUUUAUAAAAGAUAACUUUGUUUCGAUAUUACCACUAAACUCUUACAUAGAAUUAGUGUAAUGUUAAGAGAGAGUAAUGCGGUUUUCCAUUACCAUCUUUGAAAAUAGAAAGAUAUGGAUGCGUGCAUUUAAGAGUCAUCGUGAAAAUCAUACAAUUCAAUUUCCUGACAUAUAUAUUUAUGCACGUAUGCCAAAAGAAUAAAUAGACAGAAAGUAAAUUUAUAGUCCUCACUUCCUCACAAUUGUUAACGUGGAGAUGCAUUACAACUGUGAACUGUCACUACUUUAGCCUUUUUUUUUUUUAAUUAUAGUGUGAUGGAGACAUUAAGGAUGAGCAUAAUAGUUAAAGAUGACUCAUUUCUCAUUUUCUUUUUAAAGUGCUCUGCUGAAAGCCAAACUUCCUUUGGCUAAUUAAUUUAGAAGUAAAGCAGAGAAUAAAGUCCUAGAUGCCUUCUGAAAUUAGAAAUACAUUUUAUAUGCUUUAAUUAUGAUUAUUUGGUAGACUAAAGACCUAAAAGAUAUGUCAAAAGUAUAAAACAGAGCGAUUAAAGAAAAAAGAAAAAAAAAACAGAGUAUUUGUGACGUAGAAUAACAAUUGGUAAAUAAAUCCUAAAUAUUUGAGUUGUUAAAAGCAAAUAUAACAGAGACGGUAAGAGAGAUGCUGAAACAGAAAACUAUUAGCUUAUCUUGAUUUUCCCACUAUAUUCAUUUUCGAUGCUUUUCAAACGAGAUUCUUUUAAUUCUUCUGGUGUCUCUUAUAGAUCUCCAUCCCACAUCUGCACUACGAACAAGUUGAUUAAAAUUAAAUACUGUUGGAGAUGUGGGGUGAGCGGUCAACUUGGUAAAAAAACUAUGUAUAAUAUUGUUAAUAAUAUAAAAUAUAAAAUAAUAAUUACAAAGAAUCAUAAAUUAGAAAAAUUAUUUAUUUUACAAUCUAUUUCUUAAGUAAGAUAAAUCUCGUAAUAAGUUAAGUUAUAAUGUAAAAAAUAUUUUCAAUUUAUAAUCAUUUAAGGAGUCAUUUAACAAUAAAAUCUUUCUUUUUUUGAUCAAUUGGUCAUGCUACAGAGCAUCAUCUAUUCGUGGUGAUAUUAUUAUUACUCCGUAUUCUCAAAAAACACGAUUUAACAUUUAGAGAAAGUUCCUACCUUUUAAAAAGAACAUGUAUGCAACAACUACCCAUACUUUAUCUUACCACGACAAAACUAAUAGUGACUAAAUCAAUUUUCUCGAAUAAAGAAAAAUUUCUUAAAAUUAAUUUAAUAUACAAAUAUGAUGACUUUUUGCAAAAAUUAGUUUUGGAAAAUUAGUGACAGAAAAUAGUAACGAUUAUUGUUUAGAUGUGUAAAUAGCCUAAACAUGAUCCCUAAUACCAAUAUCCACGUGCAUCUUAACACCUUUCGUCAUAUUCUUUCAUUCAUGGUCACUGGUUCAAGAUUUGAAUUUGAUCAUUAAAUCAUGUUCAAUAAUAUUAGAGAUCCCAACAAUUGAGUACCAACUUAAAUCCCAAUGCUAUGUGUCAUUAACAAAUGUUGUGUCAUUUAUAAUUAUUGAAUGAAUAAUUCGUUAAUUUAUUGAUAAAUGAAAAUUUAUUAAUUUAAAGAGAGAUAUUUUUUUUUUGGGUUUUAAGAAGAGUUUUGUUGGUACAUGUACAUACUUAUAAAGAAAUAAACUUGUAAUUAUACUAUAUCUUUCUUUCUUUAUUCAGUUUGGUGGGAUAUUGUGAUAAAUCAUUGGAUUAAAAUGCAUUUCUAAAUUAAAACUUGUUAAAAUCUAAUUUAUUUGGGAAGCGCAUAUUAUUUGUCAGUCGUACUUCUCAAGUCUCAACUUAGCAAGUUAUUUCUAACUUGUCAGUCUCUAUUUGUUCUCUAAAAGCUAAUAGUCUCGAAUCUCCCGCAUUUGAUAUCUUGCCAUUAUUGUUGGCAUUAACAUGUUACCUGAGAUUGGGAUUCAUUAAAAUCCUCAAUGUAAUCGGUGGAACGAAUGGAUUUCUUCUGUUCACCAAUCCACCAAAAUUUCUGUAAUUAAAUUCAAGAGUCAAGAUCUAUGCUUAUAAUCUAUUCUAACAGCUAAUAUUCUAUUUUAUAUUUACUUAAAUAUGAAGAGCUAUGCUUGUCAUUAACUUCAAAUGUGAUCGAAGCAGCCAUACAUCUGUAUAUUACUUAUUCCCAACCUUUUUUUUUGACUUCAUAUACUUUCUUUUCAUGUUAUUUACUCUUUUUUUCCCCUCUCUGACAAUUGAGGUAGGGGGUCAAACUUGAAAGUAUCUUAAAAUCAGACAAUUUUUUUUUUUUUUAAGAUAGCUGCUAAUAUGCUCUAUUAGACAAUGAUAAGUAAUAACCUAGUUGUUUGCAUUAGAAAUGAUAUUUUUUGUGGUGCUGAUAAAGAGGUUGAUUAUGAUUCAACAAUUUAAAAUAUGAAAACAUGUGGAAGACGGCCGCAAUUAAAUUGAUUGUAUGAAAAUAUUUCAAUGAAAUUUUAAAAAUUUAGUACUUGUUAUCUUAUCGAGAGUUUUUUUAAAUUAUAUUACUACUUGAACUUGGGUACUUGUUAUCUUAUCGAGAGUUUUUUUAAAUUAUAUUACUACUUGAACUUGGCUGCUUUUGUAUUGAAUUCCUAGCGUUGCCAUUGCUUCUACUCAAAAGCCAUUUAAGUUUGUGUAAGCUACCUAUAGUUUGAACAACAAUUUACUCAUGAAUUGUUGUUCAUAAUAGCAAUUUGAUUGAAAGUGCGGCUGCACUAAUUUUCUAGAUGAAUUUUUUCCUACAUGCUUGUUCUCGUAUGACCCAAAAUCCUGCUACAUCAGUUGUAUUAGAAAUUAAUACUGGGUUACAAUUAUGCAUCCCCACCAAUAUUUAAGCAAUUUAAUUACAGGAACAUUUCUUGAGGAAAGAAACUCAUAUCGCCCCUAGGCUUUUAAUGAGGCUCAUUUUUAUGAAUCUGGAUGGCAUUAGAUAUCUCUCCGAAUAUUGGUGGGAGUAUAUCGCAGAUCUCUGGGCUAUACUACAAAGUGUAUGUACGUUGACUCUCAAUAAAUACAAACGAUUCUCUGAUAUGAUUCAAAACAUCAGUGCACGCAUCAUUUUAACGAGAGAGAAUAUUCUAAGAACGAAAUUGAAGGUGCAAUCAACAACUAAAAUGAAGCCAGAAAUGUACACGCAUGAGGAAGUUUUCCUAGAAGAUUGAUAUUUCUUUAACUAGCAAACAAUACAAGUCCAAAGCUAACCAAACCAUACCUGCAAGUCCGGGGCUUAAAUGGAGUACUUGUAAGCAUAAAACAUUAAUCAAAACACAGUAUAGACACACACACACACCCCUACAUACAUACCAGCAAAUUCGAAAUAGAAAAAGGAGUGCAACUAUUCAAGUUUGUUGACAAUAUUGCAACCAUGGCAUAUUAAAGCAAAUCCUUAAAAUCAGCUAAACGAAACAAUUCCCUGUCUCAUGAAUCGAUGCUCAAUUAAAAUUGAAAUUGAAAGUCCGGCUGGUGUUGUUUCCCUCUCCAGGUUUGCCUACAUAAGUAAAGGGAAAUGAGAAUCAUAAAUGAAAAUCUGCUUCGAUCACUGUUCACAAAUCACUGUUCACAAAUCCCUAAUUCAAAAAUUACUGUUGAUUAUCGUUUUACAGCAGCGCCUCAGCUCCAGCCUUCACCCCGCAACGCAAGCAGCAGCCAGCGCGAACCAGUCGCGCCCAACGCAAGCCCCAGCAACCCAGAUUGUUAGCUCCAGCCGCGCGCAACGUAGCUGAGCAGCAGCAGACCAGCAGCGCGAACCAGCUCUCGCGCGCAACACAACGCGAACGCAGCAGUGCGUAGAUGCAGCCCAGCAACGCAGCGCGAACCAGCAAUGCAGCCUCACCAGCGCGCAACGCAAGCCCCCGCACGCGCAGCACCAGCAUCCCGUUUCUCGCAGCGCAGCAGCGCGCAACGCAGCGCAGCACCCGCAAAGCAAGCCUCACCAGCGCGCAACGCAAGCCCGCAACGCAGCAACGAGCACGCCCUGCAACGCAACCAGCUUACGCCUUGUAUUCCAGCCGGGUAAAUCGAAAUCCGUGAGUACAAUUAUUGUAACAAUGCCGAAGAGGAAAGCAUCCACUUCCAAGUCAUCGAAAAAGACACCCAUCGCAAAGAAAUCUAAGAUUGCCGCUCCCACUACGGUUCCAUGGAACACAAUUUCAGAUUCACGCCAAGCCGUGAGACAAAGAUCGAAGCAUGGAAAAGGCAUGAGUAUUUUGCCACUUGCGGAAUCCAAUCUCGAAGGGUGCCUUGCAUUCGCGACUCAACAAGAGAAAGAGAGGUACAAAGAUAUUUCCACGGGCAAAAUACUUCCAGCUAAGAAUUUUUGGAUAUGUCUAUGUUUGAAAGAACAUGUGUGGUUGAAUUCAAGGAGGGGAGAUUUCAGUUUACUGAACCAGGACCCACUCAACUUCCGAAGAAGCUUUAUGCUAGGAGUGGUGCUACCUCUGAUGACGAGUUUGACGACGACACUGCUGCCCCGCCAACUAUUCCUUCUACAUCCGCACCACCUUUGAGCAUUCAAUUAGAGAAAAUGGAGCACAAGCUGAACAAGAUGGAGCAGAAUUUGGCCGCAUACUUCGAGAGUGUGGGAUUUACCCCACCAUUUCCGCCAAGCCCAUAGACGUUAUGUGGAUCAAAGCUCACAAUUCAGGGAAGUUUCUUUUUGCCCUUAAUCCUUUAUCCUUACGCUUUAAUUUUUAUGUGAGCUUUGAUUAUCUUACAUUGGGGACAAUGUAAGUUCUUGGUGUGGGGGAGGGAUUUUUGCAUUAUUGAUGUCUGGAAUUAUUGUUUUCACUCUACUUAUUUUUUUUUUUCACUCUACUCAUCCUUAAAUGAUUUUGGAGUUAGUAUGCUUUAUAUAUUAUUAUUUUUUCUUUUCUUUUAUUUCUCACAACUUUUUUUUUCCCAUCUAUCUCAAAUUAUUUACAUCUAUUUUUAUUCUAUCAUACUGUUUCAUCGCUCACAUUUUAUCUUUCACUUUUCAUCUUUCUCACUUCUUAUCAUUUUUACCUUUCCUUUUAUAUAUCACCCAUACCUUCUUCUCAUUCUACACCACUAUUGAUGGUUGAUUCAUUUGAAGAGUGUACAUGAUUUGAUGGCAAAUUUACCAACUUUGUGAGGAUUUGAGCCUAUGAGCAACCACUUUGCUCUAAUAUUUUUGUUAUGUGAAUAUCAAUCUUAGUUUGUUUAUUCUAGAACUUGCUUUGUUAUGCAUGUUGAAGCCGCAUUACGGGAUUUUAUGCACUAAAAUGAUAAGGGCAAACCCUUUUCCAUUUUUCUAUUCUCGCAUUUUUUUUCUCUACCCGAAGAUCUUUAUUUGCUAUCUUUGUUUGAGCCUUAACAAUUACCCAUCUAAUUCUCUCCGUCUACUUAACCAUUUUUCUUCUUUUUUUUGAGCCUCAAUUUAAGGAGAUUUUUGGACUCAUUGUGUGGAUAUAUUUUGUUGCUUUUUCUACCUUGUAAUAAAGUUUCUCAAUUAGAUCAACAAGCAUUAUGCUUGAAUUAAAUUGUGCAAGGUUCGUUUCUUUUGUUUGAUUCAAAAACAAAAACAAAAAAAAAAAAACAAAAAACAAAAAAAAAAAAGAAAAAAAAAGAAAAAAAAAAAGAAAAAGAAAAAUCACAAAAAAAAAACAAAAAAAAAUGUUUACAUUCUUGGUGACUUAAGUAGAAAUAAGCAUUUUGAUAUCAUAAGUUCAUUCAAUGAGUUCAUUUUUCUCGUUUUAAUCUCUUUUUCUUUCGUAAACCUUUCUUUUUCAUUUAACCCAUUUAACCCCAUUACAACCCUCUUAAGACCCUUAGAUUUUUGCAUUUUAUUCAUGUUUUGUGGAUUGAGAUGUGAUAUAUGAGCAAGCUUAUGGUAAUAGCAUUCUUUGAUUUGAUUUGAGUGGAUAAAUGACACCCUAAAAACUUUGAGUGCAUGGAGUGAAGUUAUUGAGAGGGCUAUUAAAUCUUGUUGCACUUGAAUUUUGAAUGGAUCUCCUUGGUGGUUGAAUGUUCUUAUUCUAUCUUAUGAAAUUCUAUGCUUUAAAAUCCUUGUCUCUCGAAUGUUAAUCGACUUAAUUUCUUGAGGUAUGCUUUCUUAAAAUUGUUUUUGGAUGAGUUGAGAUGAGAAUUGAGUGGAGAUUUGAGAUUAAUCUUGAGUUAUAUGCUUGAGGACAAGCAUCAUCUUGGUGUGGGGGAAUUUGUUAGAGUGCAAUUUAUGCACUAGUUUUGCAUUGUUUACUUCCCUUAAUAUCGAUGUUUUACACUUAAUAAUAAUGUUUUACUUGUGUUUUACUUUUGUAGGUGCAAUUCUAUUGAUUGGUGAUAAAAUUGAGCUAAAAGAUGAUGUUUAAGGAGGAUUGUUCUCUUGGAGAAAUUAUGAGCGUCGAAAGAACUUUGUUGAUAAGGCGUGGGCGCGUGCUGUCAACUGCGGACCUGCAGUUUUUAGUUUAACGUGUUUUGUAUUUUUGGUUAUUUUUGUAAUUACGAAUUUAAUAUUUCAGAUAUUAGUAUUUUAUUUUAAAUAGAAUUCUAAAAGAGAAGAGAGAGAGAGUAUUUAAGGGAGGAAUCUAUUGUGAAAAGGGGGAUUUGGAUUGGAGAAAAAGAAAGAAACCCUAGAUCUAAUUUUUCUCUUCUCUCUAUGAAGAACUAAACCUAUUUUUCUGGUUGAAGGAUAAUGACGCUUUGAUUCAUCACUACUGUGAGAUUUUUCUUAUGCUUUAAUUGUUUUAUUACUUUUUGGGUAUUUGUUUAUUCUCUGAAUUAGUUUCAUGAUUAUGUUUGUUAAUUAGGUAAUUGUCCACUAUUUAAUUAUCAACUUAAUCUAUUGUCAAUUAAAGGAUUCAUCGUAUGAAGAAUUUAAUGUUUGUGACAAAUAACAUAGCAGAGAGUUGUGUUGUGAGAAUAAACAAUCUAAUUUAAAUGAAUCAUCAUAUGUGUUGAUUAGGAUUUGGGUCUCUCUGGUUUUUCAGGCUGUCAAUUGAUUAAAUCCUAUGAUCGUAUCAAGGGUUGUCUAUUGAUUAGGGAAAUAUCCAACGGUCGUACCUUGGUUAUCGACUAGUUAAGGAGAGAUUGGCUAUUAGAGGGUCUCAAUAGCUAUAACCGGUCUAUUCAUAAGUAAUAAUAAUAUAUAUUUGAAUCAAUGAUCAGUAGUCGAAUCAAGCUGAGUUAAUUCCUUCAACCAGAGCUUUCUCCAAUUUGAAUUACAACUUUAAUUUGCAUUUUGUAUUUAAUUUGAUUUUUAUUAUUGUCUACAAUUCCCCCAUUUUAUGUUUUACGUUUCAAAAGGAUUUAAAUAAUUACCGAUCUCUGUGGACACGACCCUGCUCAAUCACUAUACACAAUUUAUUUAGAGUAGGAAUUUAUUUUUGUUGGCUUCGACACCCAUCAGUUGAUUUGUGUUGUUUAUUGCUAGAUUUCGCAUAAUUGUUUGCUGAUUACUAGAACUGGCUCUGUUUGGAUCUGAUACCAUGUUUAAAAACAUAAAAAAUCACUGAUCAGUUUGUUUGGUUGCUAAGAAAAUUUGCUCUGUUUGCUGAGAAAGUUUCAAAGAAGAUUCUCGAUUUUUUUUAUUUCAUCUUUCUUACUUCACGAAUGAUUACAAACACACCUUUUAUACACAACUCAACUAGCUAACAGAAAGAAAGCUACAAAACAGAAUCUCAGUAAGCUUAACUAAUUUUGCUGAGCUGGCAUUACACACUUAACUAACUUCGGCUAACUAAAUUCUCACAUGUGCUAAGCAUGAGCAGACUGUUUGUACACAUUAUGUGCUUCUUUAACACAAUGGAGUUUUAAAAAUUUGGUACUUGUUAUCUUAUCGAAAGUUUUCAAAAUUAUAUGAAUGUUCAAACUUAGCCCCUCCCGGCACUGCCACUGCUUCUACGUGAAAGUCAUUUAAGUUUGUGUUAGCUGCCUAUAGAUUGAAUAACAAUUUUACUCCGGAUUUUUUGUCCAUUAUGAAAAUUUGAUUGAAAGUGCGGCUGCACUAAUUUUCUAGAUGAACUUCCCUACAUGUUUUUUCUCAUAUGACCCAGAAUACUGCUAUAACAAUUGUAUUGGAAACUAUUCAACUGGGUUACUAUUCUACAUCCCCACCAAAAUUUAAACAGUCGACAUUGUGGAAAGAAACUCAUUUCGCCACUAGGCUUUUAGUGAGGCUAAUUUCUCUGAAUUUGGACAGAGUAGAUUUCUAAGCUAAUGCUUGGAAGAUCUCUGGCGAUAUUACAAAGUGCAUGUACAUUGAGUCUUAAUAAAUAUAAACGAUUCUCUAAUAUGAUUCAAAACAUCACUACAUGCAUAAGUUAAUAAGAGAAAAAAUUAUAAGAUUAUUUAUGCAUCACCAUUUAUAGUUGCACCCUCUCUAAUGAAAUUGAAGGUGCAGCCAGCAAUUAAAAUGAAGCAGAAAUGUACAUUGACCCUUAAUAAAUAGAAACUAAGGCGUUAUCGAUUCAACUUCAGUUGAUCAAUUGCGGGUGAAAGAUAAAUAAAGGAUAAGAGAAUAGAGCUGGAGUGCUAAAUUGGCUAUUGAAGAAGGGUGUCACAUGAUCACAAUCACAUUGACGCACAACUCUUUGGAGGCAAAUUUUGUCUAUGUGUACUCUAAAUUCAGCCAAACCAUACAUGUAUGAACAGAAUUUAAACCGUAGUUCUCAUCACAAUAGUAAUUGAAGCUACAAAAGCCAGAAAAUCUGAACAAAAACUUAAAAGGAAGAUUUUAUUCAAGUUUGCCCCCAAAAGACAGUUGAAAUGAAAAAUAUUGACUAUUGAAUGGGUCAAUGCUGAAUUACAUUUCAAAUGGAAAGCUUGGCAACAGUUACAAUGUUUCCCCUCUGAUUUUCCUCCAAAACAAAUUCAGUUAUAAACAAUAACUGAAGUAGGAAUAAUUUAUUCAUCAAAGAAAAUACCCUAGUUUUCAACUAACAAAUCCUGCUAUCCAAAUUAAAAAAACUCGCAUCUCUAAAAUUUAUUUGUAAACUGUUGGAAAUGAGGAGUGAUCUGUCAACUCCGUAAAUAAACUCAGGCAUAAUAUUAAUAAUAAUUAUAAAUUACAUAAUAAUUAUUAUAAAGAAUCAUAAAUUGGAAACGCUAAUCAUUCUACAAUCUAUUAUAUAAGUAAGAUAAGUCUCAUAAUAAGUUAAGUUAUAAUGUAAUAAAUACUUUCAAUAUAUAAUUAUUUAAGAAGGCAUUUAACAAUAAAAUAUUUUUUUUUCUAUUCGGUUGAUCAUAUAGUGUUAUCUAAACUCUUGACGAUAUUAUUAUUACUCACUUUUCUAAAAAAAAAACAUGAUUAACGUUUAGAGAAAAGUCAUGCCCCUUAAAAAUAAUAUGUAUACAAGCUAUCCAUACUUUAUCUUACCAUGACAAAAUUGAUGGUGAUUAAAUCUACUUUUAAAAUAGAUUUAAUGCACAGAUAUUAUGACUUCUGGCAAAAAUUAGUUUUGGAAGACAUAAUGGUAGAAAAUAGUGAUGAUCAUUAUUUAAAUGUGUAAAUAGCCUAGGCAUAGCCUGUAAUACCAAUAUCCAUUUGCCUUUAUUUGGAUUAUCACAUUUCAUGAUAUUCUUAUAUUUAUGACCAUUGUUCGAGAUUUGAACUUGAUCAUAAAUUAAGCUGCAAGAGAUUUUACUUCAGUUUCUAAGCUUUUCAAUCGUGAUUCAUCCAUGCCUUUCUUGGAUACCAUUAUGUUACGUGCCAAUGUAACUGACCUUGUAAUUGGUGUGUAUAAGGAAACAUGCCCUUUCAAGAUUGUUUUCUUUUGUUUCCUUAUUGUAGUAGUCAAAUAAAUAAAGAACGAACAAUUGAACUUGGUCUACUUCGAGGAAAACCAAGGCCUGCAAUAUUAGAUGAACUUUGAACAAAAUUAAUCUACUGCUUUUAUUCAUCUUUGGACUAUGAAUUUAUACAAAGACUUUAACAAAAAAUAACAAAGACACAACUGAAUGAUAGCAACAAGUGCUGACUUAGCGGACUACUGCAACAACUAAAUAAAAACUAAAUAUUUAUUUUGACUGUAACAACAAUUGCCCUGAUGAAUAGGACUCCACAGCAGCCACGUGACAACUAAUUUCUCCUUAAUAUUAUUAUUAGUAGAAGUAGAUUUUCAAACUAGUCUUGAUAUAUUUCGAAGUUGUAUUAUUAUCAAUGUAUAUGUAUCUAGAUUGUAACUAUAUUUUAAAAAAUAUAAUUUUUUUAAUUAUUGCACAGUAAAUGUAGAAAAAUAUCUAUAAAAUAAUAUUAUUAGGACUAAGAAAAAAAUAUUAUUUUAUAUAAGUUAUUUAUUUAUUAUUGAAUGAAUAAUUUAUUAAUUUAUUGAUAAACGAAUAUUUAUUAAUUUAAAGAGAGAUUAUUUUGGUUUUAAGAAGAGUUUGUUUGGUACAUGUACACACUUAUAAAGAAACACAAAAGGUGCUUCCUCAAGUUAAUAGUAUUUGCUUUAAUCGCUAUAGUUCACAAUAAUAUAGCAUAGUUUGGAAAAUUGUAAUUAUACUAUGUCUACGUUUGGUACAAUUUUUCAAGAAGAACUUAUUUAAAUAGAGUUUUUGUUAGUAGAACAUUUAUAAAUAAAAUUUUUACUGAAAAAAUUUAAGUUAUUUGGUUGUCAUUGUCAAAAUUGAUGAACUUUUGAUCUUUUGUUAACAUGUGUUUUUUUUACUAAAUAAUAAAUGUUAGGUUACAAUUAUUUUCAAUAGUUUUUGAAGGAAUCAAGUUAUGAAAUUUUUAUCAAUGAACUUUCAAUAUGUCAGCAUAUGGUCUGUAAAAUUUGAGAGUUUUCCAAUGAGGGAAUAAUUUAUUAAAAAUAAGAGAAUAUGGAUUGUUCUGUUUUAAGGGCCGAUUAUUGAGGACAUUUGAGGUUGAGCUUAGGAGAUGUUUAAAUUGAGAUAUUUGAGGACAUUAUGUUAGCCUAAAGGGCUACACAUAAUGUAAUUUUGAUGAUAACAAACAUGUGUCUUAAGUAAAAAUAAUAAAUAUUGUAUUUCACAUUUUCACUAGUUUUUGAAGGAUAAUAUUUAUGCAAGUGAAUCAAGUGAAAUCAAGAUUGAAGAUACUCAACGGACAACGGCGACAUCAAGAAUAUAGUUUAGAGCUCAAUGAACAAAUUAGUGCGAUAAAUUCUUGUAAAGCCGGUAUGAUUUAAUUGAUGCAUGAUUUAGCAUUUGAGAAGCUCAAGAGAUUAAUUUAAUUAAAUACUUUUCAUAAACUAAAAGGUUUUAUUUUUAUAAAGUAAAGUAUUUUGUGGAUUUGAGUAAUUUGGACUUAAAUGCUAAGAUUUGAAAUCUUUGAUUUUAAUAAGUAUUAAAUUUCGGAGUUGGACGUUUUGAUAAACAUUUGAAAUGUUUUGGGUCAUACUAUAAUUUAUAAAUAUUUUGGACUAAAGUGAAAGGUUUUGAGAACUUUGAAAAAUAUGGGUAUUAUGUUGAAAAGGACCUUUGUGCGAACUAAAAAUUUCUUUGGGGCCAUAUCAUAAUUUCAGAAAGUUUGGGAAGACAACUACUCUUAGGAAGUUCUGAAAUUGGACCUAUUUGCAAAGUUUUAUGACAUUUUGAGCCAUAGUAUAAUUAUAGAAAGUUUUGAGCCAAAGUAUAAUUUUAGUGAACAGUGUUACUAUAGCAAUUCAAAAAUAACGGUAAUAUCACUGUUCCUGAGCGGCUAGCCGGAUAAAUCAAGCGGCUAACUGCUUGGGCGAGGGAAUUUGCCUAUAACGGCUAGUUUUCAGGCUUUAACUAUAAAAACUCAGCUCAAACUUCAUUCUAAGUACUAAUGCAUGCAAAUAUAAGAUCAUACAACAUAUAUUGAGCUUCCAAAAUGCAAAUCAUCAUUGAUUGAAUCAUUGUUGAGCUAUUAGUUGCAUAUCCACUCUUAAAGAGAGUUUUUGUUGUAAUUUUCAUUUCUUAUCAAAUUGUGAGUGUGUGAGUGUGUAAGUGUGGGAAACACUUGGGGUGAAGAGAUUGGGGAGAUAAUCUCUUGGUUGUAAAGGUUCAUUGACACCUUGGAAGUCAAUUGUAAAAACUUGAACCCUUGAGAGGCUUGGAUAGUGAAAUCCUCGAGCAUGGUUGGCUUGGAGGCGUGGACGUAAGCAGGGAUUGCCGAACCACGUAAAAAUCCGCGUGUUUGUUUCUCUCUUCCCUUGCUCUUUUAUUUUUACGCUUGUUUGAAUUUAUUGUUCUCUAUUUCAUUAAGGCGUUAGAUUGAUUUAUUGUGCGAAUUGUAUUGCAUUAUUUUUAAAAACUCAAUUCACCCUCCCUCUUGGGUUGCAUUACUUGCAUUUACAUUAGAGUUUAUGAUUGAGACUCGAUUAUAUCUUAUGAGAAAUUUAUUGAUGAUUUUAGGUUGAUGAUAACAGUACGCAUUUGUUACAUGAGGAUGCCAAGAGGUAAGUAAACUAGACUUAAAAACGAAUCACAAUAAACAAUAUAUAUGUUUGACUUGUAUGAAAAGUCUAUUUUGAUAUGUACGAAUAUAGAUUUAUAUGUCUCUACUCAUGUGUUUAUGUGAUGUGUUGUUAUGUAUUGGGCGUGAUUAUGUACAUAGGCAUAUGUAUGUGUGAUGGUUCAUUGUCAUGAGCACGAAAAUGCAUUGAGUUUUCUAUGAAUGAAAAGUGGAUUUUAGCAAAUGAGAUUUCUCUUUUAUGAGAUUUUGCAUUGGGGGCCACCUCUUGAGGGCCAGAGUGCCGCAAAGUACCACGCACAACACAAAGUGCCACAUUGCAGGAUACGUAUUUUAUUGAAAGGAAAUAUGAAAGUUUGAAAGCGACAGAAAGAGAUUUUUAUGAAUUUGUUUUACAGUAUUUCCAAAAGAUCAUGGCAUAGCAUCCAUCUACAUUAUGUAUAAGUAUGCAUGUUUGCUUAUUGAGUUUUGUACUCAUUAUAGUUUAUUAUGAUUCAGUUUCCAGAAGUCAGGAUUGAUUCGUGAUGAGUGAGAAGAUGAAUUUAAAUUGAGGAUGGUAGAUGGUUUGGCUAAAUUUUUAAGUUAUUCCGCUGGCUUUUGUAUUCGAGGCUCGAAUUUUAUCGGUUGUAAAGAGUUAUUUAAAUUCAUAUGUGAGUUGUAGUCAGAUUUGCCCUCGGAGUUCGGGUUGGGGCGUUACAGAUGCAGAAACAGAAAACUAUUAGCUUAUCUUGAUUUUCCCACUAUAUUCAUUUUCGAUGCUUUUCAAACGAGAUUCUUUUAAUCCUUCUGGCGUAUGCAGCCCUUGCUCUUCUUAUAAAUCUCCAUCCGACAUCUGCACUAGGAACAAGUUGAUUGAAAUUAAAUAACAUUAGAGAUGACGGACGGUUGAGCCGUUAACUCGGUAAAAAAACUCAUAUAUAAUAUUACUAAUAAAAAAAAAUAUAAUAAUCAUUACUAAGAAUCAUAAAUUAGAAAAAUUAAUUAUUUUACAAUCUAUUUCGCAAGUAAGAUAAAUCUCAUAAUAAGUUAAGUUAUAACGUAAAAAACAUUUUCAAUUUAUAAUCGUUUAAGAAGUCAUUUAACAAUAAAAUCUUUCUUUUGGUCAGUUGGCCAUGCCACAGAGUAUCAUCUAUAUUCGUGGUGAUAUUAUUAUUACUCCGUAUUCUCAAAAAACUUGAUUUAACAUUUAGAGAAAAUUCCUACCAUUUAAAAAGAACAUGUAUGCAGCAGCUACCCAUACUUUAUCUUACCCCGACAAAAUUAAUGGUGACUAAAUCAAUUUUCUCGAUUAAAGCAAAAUUUUCUUAAAAACGAUUUAAUGCACAAAUAUGAUGACUUUUUGCAAAAAUUAGUUUUGGAAAAUAUAGUGAGAGAAAAUAGUGACGAUUAUUGUUUAGAUGUGUAAAUAGCCUAAACAUAAUUGCUAAUACCAACAUCCACGUGCAUCUUAACACCUUUCGUGAUAAUCUUUCAUUCAUGGUCACUGGUUCAAGAUUUGAAUUUGAUCAUUAAAUCAUGUUCAAGAAUAUUAGAGAUCCCAACAAUUGAGUUCCAACUUAAAUCCUAAUGCUAUGUGUCAUUGACCAAUAUUGUGUCAUUUUUUGUUAACUGGGUGAUGAAUUUCUAGUUGAUAAAAUUACUUAAAAAUAUCUUAAAAAUCAGAUAAUAGUUAGCUUAAUUUUUUGAAGCUAACUGCUCAAGAUGCUCUAUUAGAAAUGAUAACCUAAUUAUAUAAAAAAAAAAAUGAUGUAUUUUUUUCGGUGUUGAUAGUGAGAUUAUCAUUCAACAUGUUAAAAUAUGAAAACAUAUGGAAGAAGGUUGUAAAUUGAUUGAAUGAAAAUAUUUCAGUGAAGUCUAAAAAAUUUGGUACUUGUUAUCUUAUCGAAAGUUUUCUAAAUUACAUUCGUGGCACUGCCACUGCUUCCAUGUGAAGGUCAUUAAAAUUUGUGUUAGUUACCUAUAUGUUGAAUAAUAAUUUUAUUCAUGAAUUGUUGCUCAAUAUAGCAGUUUCUAGAUGAAUUUUCCUACAUGUUUGUCCUCAUAUGACCUAGAAUGCUGCCAUAUCAAUUGUAUUGGAAAUUAUUCAAGUGGGUUUGUGCUCUAUACCCCCACCAAAAUUUAAGCAAUCUACAGAACAUUCCUUGUGGAAAGAAACUUAUUUCGCUACUAGGUGGGAGUAGAUUUCUAAGCUAAUGCUCGGCAGAUCUCUAGGCUAUACUAAAAAGUGUAUGCACUUUGACUCUCAAUAUAUACGAGUGAUUCUAUGAUAUGACUGAAAACAUCAGUACAUGCAUGAUUUUAUAAGAAAGAAUAUUCUAAAAUUAUUUAUGUAUCACCAUUUGAAGUUGUACCCUCUCGAAUGAAGGUGCAAUCAGCAACUAAAAUGAAGCCCGAAAUGUACACGCGUGAAGCAGUUUUUCUAGAAGAUUGAUAUUUCUCAAACUAGCAAACCGUACAAGUCCAAAGCUAGAAAAAGGAGUGCUUCUAAGCAGAAAACAUUGAUUAAAACAGAAUGCACACAAACAUACCAGCAAAUUCAAAAUAGAAAAAGGAGUGCAACUGUUCAAGUUUGUGGACAAUAUUGCAACCGUGGCAUAUUUAUAGCAAAUCCUUGAAAUCUGCUAAAUAAACAAUGCCCUGUCUCAUGAAUCAAAGCCGAAUUAAAAUUGAAAUUGAAAGUCCGGCUGGUGUUGUUUCCCUCUCCAGUUUUGCCCACAUAAGUGAAGGGAAAUGAGAAUCAUAAACUAAAAUCUGCUUUUACAGUUCUUAUUAGAUAGAUAUAAAGGGAUCUUUCUUUGUUUCUCUGCUGCAAUUUGUGGCUAUCCCACUCUGUUUUGCCACUCAAGCUUAGUCUACGUUGAGACACAAUUUUGACAUCAGAAGCAACCUCAAUUAGUUUGGCAUUUUUAUGACCUCCUUGUACGUUUUACGAUAAACAUAAAUCUACUGAGAAAGUGGGAAAAAAAGAAAAUGCAUAUAAAAGUAUGAGUUAUCAGACAUGAUUAAAACUCACCCAAUUCAAUCCAUUAGAUUCCGUAAGGAUAUAACUGGAUGUCAUACCGCCAUUCCAUAUCCUCGAAAGUCCGUAGCCUCUGUCUCAACUCUGUCUGAGGCCAAUGUAAAUCCAAUAUGCGCAAGCUCUUUAUGCACCACAGCUCUUCUGGAAGCUUUCUCAAGUAAGCACAAGGGUUGACAAUUAAGCUUUCAAGUUUUGGCAUUGCUCCAGCCCCCAUCGUCCACUCAUCUAGCCAAAACAUUGAUUUCAGGUGCAAAACCUUACGUUCCGGAAAGCAACCAGGGCCAACGCAGGCCAGCUUUCUUCCUAAAUACGAGUUUUGCUUCAGUUUCAGCACUUGAAGGCGUGGAAGCUUUUCCAGCAUUGGCAUGGGAUCCUCCAUUAGCUCAGUAUUCGAUAAGCUCAGAUGGCUCAGACUUGGAGGAAAUUGGUAUUCAGACAGGAUAAUCCGUGAGGGCUUGCUCUCAUUCACCAGCUUCAAGCAUUCAAGUUUGUGCAGUUCGCAUAGGCUUUUGGAAACCCCGGAUUGAUAGUAACUCAAAUCUCCAGAUAUUCUUAGACUUUGGACAAGAUAUUCUUAGACUUUGGACAUUUGGUAGUCUGCCCAAUAUAGCUGGACUGCAACUACUAGGAUGUAAGGCUGAUAAGAAAAUGAGAUUUUUCAGAGAGCUUCAAUAAUUUUUUGGAGGUGCGGGCAGAGUGAUGCAACCGAAGUUUAGAUGCAUGAGUUUUUGCAUCAUCCAAAUAUCCUCUGGUGAAUGAUCUAUGUAGCUAGAUGGCAUUUCUAGCGUUUGAAGGUUUAAAAGGGAGCAUAGCAGUGAAGGAAUGCAUUUGAGCGAAGGGAUAUUCAAUUUCAAAUACUUCAAAAGGAAUAAAUUUUCUAAUCCGGCUGGAUAUUGGUCGAGAACUGCAGAACCCAAGUUCAAUACCCGAAGGUAUUUGAACUUGUCGCAAUCUAUCAGAGCGAGAUGAUCGCUUGCCGAACUGUUAUUCAGAAAAGAUUGGAGAUACAUGUCAGAAUGUCCUAAAGAUAAAAACCCAGUCAGAUCUUGGGCAAUGACGCACCGUUUAACAUUUGCCACUGGCUCCUCUUCCCUGUCACGCAUCCAUACAAAUUCCGUCUUCUCUGCCACCGAGCACAGUAAAGUAAAUUCAAAACCUGGAACAUAAAACGCUUUAAUUGUGCCGCCGGCUCCUCUUACUCACUUGAAUGAAGCCGCAAUGGAUUAGUUCUUUCAAGUAAUGUUCUGCCGUCUCCUCACUGUUGUAUGGUAUGAAACCUUCAGCUACCCACAACUGAUAUAAUUGUCUCGUAGAUAUCUCAAUGUCUGGACGGAAGACAAACAAAUAGGUGUAGCAGACUUUCAAGUGAAAAGGUAACUCCAUCACAGAAUAAAUUUGUCUCCAAAUUGUCCGAAUCGCUUAGGCUUGAAGAUAAUUUUCUAAUGGCAUACUUCCAUAGUGUAGGAUGAAAAAUUGCCAGGCCUCAUACUUUAAUCUGAUCAAUGGUCCUCCAACGAGCACAGAAUCAGGCCGAAUCUUCUCUCCAUUUUCCAUUUCCAACGACACAAGGAGUUCUGGAUCAGUGACUGUUAUCAAUACUCUGCUUCCAUUCUCAUUAUCAGGGAGACCUUCUUCGAGAUCAUCCCAUAUCUCACUGUUAUCGAAGACAUCAUCAAGCACAAUAAAGUACUUCUUGUUUGUUAGGUAAUCUCGAAGAAUAGAUUUCUUCAAUUGAUAAUUGAAAGAGUUUGUAUAUAGUGUUUGGUUUAAGAGAAACUAACAAGAAAAUAAAAGAAAAUCAUAAAGAACCAGAUCUGAAAAUGAUCAUAUUCUCAUUUUUUGACUAAUGAUUACAACUUGUUAUUUAUAGUAAAGAUCAGAGGCGUCACGUAGCUUGUCAGUUUGUUGGAUCUAAUAUGCAUGCAGUACAGUUCGUUAUCUUUGCUGCUGAGCUGGAUAACUAACUCAACACACGUAAGCAUCAGCAGCUCCAUUUAAUCAGAUGCUCUCAUCUAUACCAUAUUAUCAUACUCUAUAACAUCCUCCCUCAAGCUGAACUGACCUGGAUGGACAUUCAGCUUGCUUCUUAGAUAGUGAAACUGAUUGAAGGUUAGUGCCUUGGUAAGAACAUCGGCAUUUUGGUCUUCACUGGGAAUGAACUGAACUGUAAUUUGCUUAGCUGUUACUUUGUCUCUGAUGAAGUGAAUAUCAAGCUCAACAUGCUUAGUUUUAGCAUGAUAAACAGGAUUGUGAGCUAAAGCUAUGGCACUUUGAUUAUCACACCACAUUAUGGGGGCUGUGACAAGAUGAAUAUGUAGCUCUUUCAGUAAGGACUGAAUCCAAGUAACCUCAGCUGUAGCUUGAGCCAAAGCUCUGUAUUCAGCUUCAGUGCUUGAUCUGGAAACUACUGCCUGUUUCUUAGACGACCAAGAAACCAAAUUUGAACCAAGAUAAACAGCAUAACCAGCCACUGAUUUGCGAUCAUCCUUAUCACAUGCCCAAUCUGAGUCACUAAAACAAUUUAUCUGCAUAGUGCCGUAAUGAUAAAAAUGUAAUCCAAAAUGAAUUGUUCCUUUCAAAUAUCUAAGAAGCCUCUUACAAGCCUCCCAGUGCUCUGCUGUUGGUGAAGCUAAAAACUGACUAAGUUUGUUUACAGAGAAAGCUAUUUCUGGCCUAGUGAGAGUCACAUAUUGUAAAGCUCCAACUGCACUUCUAUAUUGAGAACUAUUUGAAAUAACACUUCCUGACCCCUUUGUAAGAUAAUGACCAGUGGCCAUGGGAGUAGGAACUGGACUGCAGUCAGCCAUAUUGUGUUUGGCUAGAAUAUCAGCUAUGUAUUUAGAUUGAGAGAGAUAAAUUCCAGAUGCUGUUUUGGUAACUUCUAUCCCAAGAAAAUAACUCAAUUUGCCCAGAUCCUUCAAAGCAAAAGCAUUUUGCAUAUUGGUAAUCACUUGCUGCACCAUUUGAUCACUUGAGCCUGUUAUGAUUAUAUCAUCCACAUAGACAAGAACAAAAAUUACUUGAUCACCUAUCCACUUGUAGAAAAGGGAGUUGUCUGACCUUGAAUUUUGGAAACCCCAUUUCACAACCAUAGCAUCUUUCAGUCUCUCAAACCAUGCCCUGGGGGCUUGUUUUAAACCGUAGAGAGCCUUUUUCAACUUACAGACAUGAAGAGGUCGAGAUGGAUCAAUGAAGCCCUCUGGCUGCCCCAUGUACACAUCUUCAACUAAUAUGCCAUUCAAAAAGGCAUUAUUCACAUCCACUUGUCUGAGCUCCCAUUUAUUCAUAACUGCCAAACUUAAAAUAACUCUGACUGUGGAUGCUUUAACAACUGGACUGAAUGUUUCUGUGUAAUCAACUCCUUGUGUCUGAUGAAACCCCUUAGCCACUAACCUGGCUUUGUAUCUAGAAAUGGUUCCAUCAGCAUGAUAUUUUAUCUUGAAUAUCCAUUUGUUACCAACUACCUUAACUGGUUCACUUGGCAAAACCAGAUCCCAUGUAUGAUUAUUCUGAAGUGCUUGAAAUUCUUCUUGCAUUGCCUUAAACCAUUUUGGAUUAGAUAAAGCAGCUGAAACAGAAGUAGGUUCUGAAGGUAUGGCUAGUAAAGCAGCUAAAUAAGAUUUAGGCUUAAAUAUACCAGCCUUGGAUCUGGUUAUCAUGGGAUGACCUAUAGGUGGUGCAGCAGGUAAUAUAUGAGGAGGAGAUUGUGUAUGAUGUAUAGGAUGUGUAUGUGAUGUCAAAGUAGAAGAUGAAGAGGAGGUUGAAGAAGGAGAGAAUACCUGUGGAGUGUCAGCAGGUAGGUAAUCACUUGCUAGAGAUUGUUGCAGGGGGGAUUGUACUUGUGGGAUUGGAACAAGAGUAACUUUGGACUCUGAAGAAAUAUCUGAGGGACUGCAAGACUGAGCAAUGGAAGAGAAGUCUAAUCCAGAUACAUAUGGAAAAGAUUGUUCAUCAAAGAUGACAUGAUUGGACACAUACACACGACCAGAUGAAUGAAGACACUGAUACCCUUUAUGAGAAGAGCUAUACCCAAUAAAAACACAUCUGUUUGAUCUAAAACUGAGCUUGUGUCUGUUAUAAGGUCUGAGAUAAGGAAAGCAAGCACAACCAAAGACCCUAAGAGAGACAUAAUCUGGUACUUGCUGAAAAAGUUUUUGGUAAGGUGAAAUGUAUUCAAAGUUGGUGUGGGUAGUCUGUUAAUAAGGAAUACAACAGUAUGAAAGGCAUUCCACCAGAACUUAAGUGGUAAAUUAGCUUGAGCUAACAGAGUGAGGCCAAUGUCCACUAUGUGUCUAUGUUUUCUCUCAAUUCUUCCAUUUUGAUGAUGGAUAUGUGGACAAGGAUGCCUGAACUGAAUUCCAAACUGAGUGAGAUAUGAUGCAAAGGUUCUAAACUCCCCUCCCCAAUCUGUUUGAACUGUUUUGAUGUGUUGUUGUAAGUGUUUUUCAAUAAAAGAUUUGAAUUCUGUGAAAACUUGGAGUGCAUCUGAUUUGGCAGUCAAAGGAAAAAUCCAUGUGAAUCUGCUAAAAUCAUCUAAAAUGGACAAAUAAUAUAUAUAGCCUUGAGUGGAUGCAACAUGUGAUGGUCCCCACAAAUCAGCAUAUAUAAGUUGUAAUGGUGCUGUUGUUUUUGUUGGAAUAGAUCCAAAAUGUAAAAGGUGACUUUUACCAUGUUGACAGGCAUUGCAAAAGUUUGGAGUUUUAUUGAGUACAUUGAAACUAUUACAAGCUUUCAAUACAGAUUUGAGUGUGUGUAAGGCAGGAUGUCCUAGCCUUUUAUGGAAAACAUUGACAUCGACUGAGCUAGUAUUGACAGCCAAGGCUGAUUUACACAGCAAAUGAUGAGACAAAGUACUCUUACUUAUUUCAGGAGAAAUAUCACUAGACAAAGGAGAAUGAAAAGCAAACAAAGACUGAGGUUUAUUGGAAGAAAGUUGACAAGACAAGGCUGAGCUAGUUUCAGAGACUUGAGCUGCAGAUUGGACUUGAUACAAUCCCCCUGUUGCAAUUCCUCUAAGCAAAGUGAUCCCUGAGUUCCUGGCCUUGACAACACAGACAUUUGCAAAAAACUCAAGUGUCACAUUAUUAUCUACUAAGAGCUUUGAAACACUGAGUAAAUUUUUCUUAAUAUUUGGAACAUGAAGAACAUGGUUUAAACACAAGGGUUUAUUUGCAGUAGUAGCUAGCAAUACUGAUCCAAUAUGCUGAAUAUGCAAUGCAGAACCAUUCCCAACAAGCAAUUUGUCAGUUCCAACAUAUGGCUUGAGAUCCAGUAAUUUACCUGGGUCAUUUGUGAUGUGGUUAGUAGCACCACUGUCAAUGUACCAAGCUGGAUCUUCAAUCAUCUCAGGUGCAUGAGCUGGAACAGGGACUGAAGGAGAUCCAGAGUAAUCUCCAGUAGGAGCAAAAGCAUGAGCAGGAGAGUAACCACCAUGAGAAUUAGAUGGUUGAUAAACAUUGAAAGCAGCUGGAUCUGAAUACAUCAAAUGGCCUUGAUAACCAGGUGCUCUUGGUAUGUUGAAAUUACCAAACUGAGAGUUACCAAUUCCAGCACCAUAUUGAGGAUUAAGAUUUCUACCAAAAUUACCAAAAUUUCCAUAAGCCAUAGAAGACCUAUUGCCAUUAGCAUAGCCAAAACCUCUACCAUACUGCCUCUGACCAGGCCUAAAAUUUCCAUUAAAACCACCUCUUCCUUGAUUUCUUGAAGGAACAAAAGCUGAGUUAAACCUAUUCCUGCAUUUAUUGGCACCAUGACCAGGAAUGAAAUAGAUCUGACAUACAAUUUGUGAGAAGUUACCAUCACUAGAUCCAGCUCCAGAAUUAUAACUUCCUCCAUACGAUCCAAUGUUAAACUUCUGAUUACCACUAGUGUUUUUACUAGGAUUGAACUGCUUUUGAGCAACAUUAGCUGACAAGUUAUGUGUAACAUCACUUGCAAUUUUUCCUCUCUUUUGUUCCACAUGAUUUUCAUGACUCAAUAACAAUGAAUAAAACUCAUCAAGACUGAUAUUAUCUCCUCUAGCUAACACAGUAGUAACUAGUGAUUCAUAAUCAGAGGAAUCCAAUCCAGUCAAAACAUGUUGAACGAAAUCAUUCACUUCAACAGGUUUUCCAGCUAAAGCCAAGCUAUCAGAUAUCCUUUUCAUUUUUGCAAAAUAAUCAGUUAUGGACAUCGAGCCUUUUUUAAGAGUUUGGAUUUGCAUUUUUAGAGGCAUUAUUCUAGCUUGUGACUGGGAAACAAACAUACUUGUAAGUGUAUCCAGCAGCUCCUUUGCAGUUGAGCAGUGGAUCACAGUUGUCAACAGAUUCGGCUGAAUAGAUGAGAGCAUCCAGCUCAGAAUCAAUUGAUCCGUCUUUAUCCACAUUGUGUAAGCUGGAUUGAUCUCUUGAUUCUCUGUUCCAGUUGAGAAACCAGCAGCAGAGCUUAUAGCAGAGAAAAAUUUUCCCGGACAGACUUGAUUUCCAUUGAUGAAAUCUUCUAAACCAUUUCCUUUAAUGGAUAUGAGAAUCUGAGUUCGCCAAACAAUGAAGUUAUUAUGAUCUAGUUUUAUCGGAGUAAUAAAACUAUAGGAUCCAGAAUUUUGAUUCGAAUUUGCCAUUUGUUAGCUCUGAUACCAUGAAAGAGUUUGUAUAUAGUGUUUGGUUUAAGAGAAACUAACAAGAAAAUAAAAGAAAAUCAUAAAGAACCAGAUCUGAAAAUGAUCAUAUUCUCAUUUUUUGACUAAUGAUUACAACUUGUUAUUUAUAGUAAAUAUCAGAGGCGUCACGUAGCUUGUCAGUUUGUUGGAUCUAAUAUGCAUGCAAUACAGUUCGUUAUCUUUGCUGCUGAGCUGGAUAACUAACUCAACACACGUAAGCAUCAGCAGCUCCAUUUAAUCAGAUGCUCUCAUCUGUACCAUAUUAUCAUACUCUAUAACAUCCUCCCUCAAGCUGAACUGACCUGGAUGGACAUUCAGCUUGCUUCUUAGAUAGUGAAACUGAUUGAAGGUUAGUGCCUUGGUAAGAACAUCGGCAUUUUGGUCUUCACUGGGAAUGAACUGAACUGUAAUUUGCUUAGCUGUUACUUUGUCUCUGAUGAAGUGAAUAUCAAGCUCAACAUGCUUAGUUUUAGCAUGAUAAACAGGAUUGUGAGCUAAAGCUAUGGCACUUUGAUUAUCACACCACAUUAUGGGGGCUGUGACAAGAUGAAUAUGUAGCUCUUUCAGUAAGGACUGAAUCCAAGUAACCUCAGCUGUAGCUUGAGCCAAAGCUCUGUAUUCAGCUUCAGUGCUUGAUCUGGAAACUACUGCCUGUUUCUUAGACGACCAAGAAACCAAAUUUGAACCAAGAUAAACAGCAUAACCAGCCACUGAUUUGCGAUCAUCCUUAUCACAUGCCCAAUCUGAGUCACUAAAACAAUUUAUCUGCAUAGUGCCGUAAUGAUAAAAAUGUAAUCCAAAAUGAAUUGUUCCUUUCAAAUAUCUAAGAAGCCUCUUACAAGCCUCCCAGUGCUCUGCUGUUGGUGAAGCUAAAAACUGACUAAGUUUGUUUACAGAGAAAGCUAUUUCUGGCCUAGUGAGAGUCACAUAUUGUAAAGCUCCAACUGCACUUCUAUAUUGAGAACUAUUUGAAAUAACACUUCCUGACCCCUUUGUAAGAUAAUGACCAGUGGCCAUGGGAGUAGGAACUGGACUGCAGUCAGCCAUAUUGUGUUUGGCUAGAAUAUCAGCUAUGUAUUUAGAUUGAGAGAGAUAAAUUCCAGAUGCUGUUUUGGUAACUUCUAUCCCAAGAAAAUAACUCAAUUUGCCCAGAUCCUUCAAAGCAAAAGCAUUUUGCAUAUUGGUAAUCACUUGCUGCACCAUUUGAUCACUUGAGCCUGUUAUGAUUAUAUCAUCCACAUAGACAAGAACAAAAAUUACUUGAUCACCUAUCCACUUGUAGAAAAGGGAGUUGUCUGACCUUGAAUUUUGGAAACCCCAUUUCACAACCAUAGCAUCUUUCAGUCUCUCAAACCAUGCCCUGGGGGCUUGUUUUAAACCGUAGAGAGCCUUUUUCAACUUACAGACAUGAAGAGGUCGAGAUGGAUCAAUGAAGCCCUCUGGCUGCCCCAUGUACACAUCUUCAACUAAUAUGCCAUUCAAAAAGGCAUUAUUCACAUCCACUUGUCUGAGCUCCCAUUUAUUCAUAACUGCCAAACUUAAAAUAACUCUGACUGUGGAUGCUUUAACAACUGGACUGAAUGUUUCUGUGUAAUCAACUCCUUGUGUCUGAUGAAACCCCUUAGCCACUAACCUGGCUUUGUAUCUAGAAAUGGUUCCAUCAGCAUGAUAUUUUAUCUUGAAUAUCCAUUUGUUACCAACUACCUUAACUGGUUCACUUGGCAAAACCAGAUCCCAUGUAUGAUUAUUCUGAAGUGCUUGAAAUUCUUCUUGCAUUGCCUUAAACCAUUUUGGAUCAGAUAAAGCAGUUGAAACAGAAGUAGGUUCUGAAGGUAUGGCUAGUAAAGCAGCUAAAUAAGAUUUAGGCUUAAAUAUACCAGUCUUGGAUCUGGUUAUCAUGGGAUGACCUAUAGGUGGUGCAGCAGGUAAUAUAUGAGGAGGAGAUUGUGUACACACUGAUCCAUGUACAACACAUCUCUUGAUUAUCUGUGUGUGUGCUGCUCAUCAAUGAUUAACAAGAUACAGUAGUUUUGUGAAGUCUCAUGUCUUGUGUUACAAAAUUUUGUGAUGGAAAGAAGGAAUAAUUCAACUAAAAAAAAAAAACACACGCGCGCAGCACACACACAGAGGGCCGCAACUAGCCCUUGAACCCCUAUUGAACUCGCACAAGAUACUAUUGAACUAAAUUCAAAAACAGCUGUUAAUAGCAUCUUAAAAUAUGGGUUCUAUCCAUACUCCCACCUGAAUCAUUUCUUGCGGCAUGACUCAAAAAUAACAAUAAGCCUGUCGCACCGAUAACUCAUUAGUGCAAUUUUUUUAACUCAAAAAAUUGAUACGCGUUCAUUUAGCGAAAAGUCCAAGACGCUUGCCUUUUGAAAAGAAGAGGUAUCCAAUAGAUAUCCAACCUUUAUCUUAUUUAAUUACUACCACGACAUGAUUGAUGGUGCUUAAAUCGAUUGUUUCUUUUUUAAUUUAAAGAAUUUUUCAUUAAAAAAUAUUUUAAUAUCAAAUUGCCUUCAAUAGCGUAACUGCCGCAGGCCCAGUAACAAGAUUAAUUAAAAUUUUUUGAAUUUUUGGGCAUGGAAAGAGUAGUAUUAGACUUCAGAAAGCUUAAGGUUGUUAUGUUAAAGAAUUGAUAUUGACAUAAUUUUAUUUUGGUUUUCGGGAAACAAAUUAUUUGUUGACAAGCAAGAAAAUAUUUUUGUAUUUUACAAUUUAUUAUACAUAUUUUAUCAUAUUAAAGUAAUUUUAAUAAUAAAUAGACACAUAAUAUUACAACAAAUAAAGUAAAGUUUAAAUUAUUUUGAAUAUUAUAAAAAUAAUUUUAAUAUUAUUAAUAGGAAGACAUUUUGUUAAUUUUAAAAUCUUUUUAACCUAAAGGUUUAUUUAAAAUCUUUAGAAAUCUCCAUCCCACAUCUACCCUAUUAAACAAGUUGAUGGAAAUUGAACAAUUGCUUUUUGAAGUGGACCCAUUGAGUUAUGUUCAUUACUGGUCAUUGUCUAUUCUUUCUAAGAGCCACUUGUUUUGAGCAUUAGCAAUCCUAUCUGGACUACUCCAAUUAUUGAUGUAACUCCAAUGGUUGCAUCAACAGUUGAAUGUAAGAUAGUGUUAGUUCUUUUUUGAGAAUAUAGAGGGAUCUUUAUUUGUUUCUCCGUUGUAGCGUAUUAGUAUAAAUUUCUUUACCUUACAGUUCCUACAGUCUUCCUGUUAAUGAAUUCGCUGAGGCAUUAUUGAUCCAAUCUCAGUGAAGUAAUUGUGGGUGAAAAAAAAAAAUAAAGGAUAAGAGAACGUAGCUGAAGUGCUGAAUUGACUAUUAAAGAAGAGCGUCACCUGAUCACAAUCACAUUGAUGCACAACUCACUCAGAUCAUUACAACGUCCUUUUCGCUAAUUAAUUAUGAUUAUAUACAUUUUCAUAUGGCAAGUGGCAUUGUAGAUCUAAACUACGUUGCUAUUUCAUUACGUUAAUUAAGUGAUUCUCCUCAUUGUCAUCAGCGCUUUUUGGGCAUGGAAAGAGUAGUAUUAAACAUUAGAAAGCAAAGGUUGUUCUGUCAAAGAAUUGAUAUUGGCAUAAUUUUAUUUUUGCUUUCGAGUAAAAAAAAAAAAAUUGUUGACAAGCAAGAUACUGUUUUUAUAUUUUACAGUCAGUUAUACAUAUUUUAUCAUAUUAAAGUAAUUUUAAUAAUAAAUGGAAACAUAACAUUACAAUAAAUCAAUUAAAGUUUAAAUUAUUUUGAAUAUUAUAAAAAAUAAUUUUAAUAUUAUUAAUAGGAAGAUAUUUUGUUUAUUGUAAAAUCUUUUUAACCCAAAGGUUUAUUUAAAAUCGUUAUAAUAAAUAAAAAUAUAAAAACAAAAUAAAUAUCAUAAUUUAAAAUUUUAAUAUUAUUUUAAAUAUUAAAAAUACUUUAAUGCUAUUAGUCUACUACCCAGGUUAUAUUACGUAUAUUAUAUUUGUAUAAAUUAAAACUUUUAAAGUUAAAUUUUUAAUUACUAUAUUGAAAAGUUAUUAUGGUUAAAAAAAGUUUUGGCAUUUCUUUUUGAAAAUUUGAGGGUCUGCAUGACAAUUUGUCCAAAUCCUAGAGGUAUAGGUGUCUUUUUUUUUUUUCGAUAAUCAUUUUACUUUUGAGGGAAUCCGAUGAGAAAUAAGAUAAGAGAAACGUCAAUUUAAGGUUCUCUAGGGAAAACCAAGAACUAUUCAAUUUUGUAUUUUUUGUUUGUAAAACGAAAAACAGUUUGCCAAAAAAGGUACCAAACAUAUCCUUAAUGUCUCACAUGAUUUCUUAUUAAGUCCAUACUCGAUAUAUUUAUACAUUUUAGGUAUUUUAGUUAUAAAAGAAGUUGGUCCUCCCUUUGUUUAUAAAAGGUAACUUUAUUUCGAGAUUACCACUAAAGUCUUGCAAAGAAUUAGUGUAAUGUUAAGAGAGAAUAACACAGUUUUCCAUUACCAUUUUGAAAAUAGAAAGAUGUGGAUGUGUGCAUUUAAUAUUGCGUUUACUUGCUGGAUUGAGGAAUCGGAAUCUAGAAUCGGAAUGAUUGAUGGUGUUUACUUUGCAAAUAUGGAGCAGGAAUCGGAAUUGGAAUGGUGGGGGCCACCACUAUUUGGGAAUGGGAGAUUGAUUCUCAUGGGGGAAGGUGGGAAUGAGUCUCCCAUUCCCUGGAUUGACCAUUUUGCCCUCCCUCAAAAUUAAAAAUGCCUACUUUGUCCUCUUUUAUAAUUAAUUAAUAUAAUAUUAUAAUUACUUAAUUAAUAUAUAAAUAUUUUAUUAACUAUAAUUAUUAAAAAUUAUAGUUCUUGAAUAAAUAAUCACAAUAAUUAAUUUAUUAUUAUUAUUGUUAUUUUAAUUAAUUAAUUAAUAUACUAUUAUAAUAAUUAUUAAUAUAAUUAAUUUAUAUAUUAUUAUUAUUAUUAAUGAAUUAAUAUAAUUAUUACUAUUAAUUAAUAUAUUAAUAUAUUAUUAACAAUAAUAUAUUAAUAAUUAUUGUUCGUGAAUAAAUAAUCACAAUAAUUAAUAUAUUAUUAUUGUAAUUAAUUAAUUAAUAUACUAUUAUAAUAAUUAUUAAUAUAAUUAUUAUAAUUAAUUCAUAUAUUAUUAUUAAUUAAAUUAAUAUUAUUAAAUAAAUAAAUAAUAUAAUUAUUACUACUAAUUAAUAUAUUAAUAUAUUAUUAAAAAAUAUUAAUAAUUAUAAUUUUUGAAUAAAUAAUCACAAUAAUUAAUAUAUUAUUUUAAUUAAGUAAUUAAUAUUAAUAUUAAUAUUAUUAGUUAAUAUAUUUUUAUAAUAAUUUUUAAUAUAGUUAUUAUAAUUAAUUAAUUUUUUUUACAAUUAAUUAAUAUAUUAGUUAAUAAUAAUUAUGACAAUAAUCCAUUAAGUACUUUUUAGUAAUUUGUUACAAUCUAAUUCAUUCCGAUUCCGAUUUCAAGACAAAGUAAACACAUUAAUGGCAAUUUAGCUCAUUCUGAUUUUGAUUCCUACAGUUCAAGUAAACAACUUAUUUUGAUUCCUAUUACAUAUUCCCAUUCCAACCCAUUCUCAUUUCUGUCCAUUCUCAUUUCUGCCCAUUCCGAUUUUAGCUCAUUCCGAUUUCAGUUUAGUAAACGCAGUAUAAGAGUUAUCAUGAAAAUCAUACAAUUCAAUUUCCUGAAAUAUAUAUUUUAUUCACAUGUGCCAAAAGAAUAAAUAGAUAGAAAGUAAAUUUACAAUCCUCACUCCCUCACAAUUGUUAAAGUGAAUAUGCAUUACAACUGUGAACUGUCACUACUUUAGCCCUUUUUUUUUUUUCAAUUAUAGUGUGAUGGAGACAGUGAACAUUAAGGAUAAAGUGCUCUGCUGAAAGCCAAACUUCCUUUGGCUAAUUAAUUUAGAAGUAAAGCAGAGAAUAAAGUCCUAGAUGCCUUCUGAAAUUAGAAAUACAUUUUAUAUGCUUUAAUUAUGAUUAUUUGGCAGACUAAAGACCUAAAAGAUAUGUCAAAAGUAUGAAACAGAGAGAUUAAAGAAAAAAGAAAAAAAAAAAAAAACAGAGUAUUUGUGACGUAGAAUAACAAUUGGUAAAUAAAUCCUAAAUAUUUGAGUUGUUAAAAGCAAAUAUAACAGAGACGGUAAGAGAGAUGCAGAAACAGAAAACUAUUAGCUUAUCUUGAUUUUCCCACUAUAUUCAUUUUCGAUGCUUUUCAAUCGAGAUUCUUUUAAUUCUUCUGGUGUCUGCAGCCCCGGCUCUUCUUAUAAAUCUCCAUCCCACAUCUGCACUACGAACAAGUUGACUGAAAUUAAAUAAUGUUGGAGAUGAGGGGUGAGCCGUCAACUUGUUAAAAAAAACUCAUGUAUAAUAUUAUCAAUAAUAUAAAAUAUAUAAUAAUUGUUACAAAGAAUCAUAAAUUAGAAAAAUUAAUUAUUUUACAAUCUAUUUCUUAAGUAAGAUAAAUCUUGUAAUAAGUUAAGUUAUAACGUAAAAAAUAUUUUCAAUUUAUAAUCAUUUAAGAAGUCAUUUAACAAUAAAAUCUUUCUUUUGAUCAUGUGGGCAUGCCAUAGAGUAUCAUCUAUAUUCGUGAUGAUAUUAUUAUUACUCAGUAUCCUAAAAAAAACACGAUUUAACAUUUAGAGAAAAUUCCUGCCUUUUAAAAAGAACAUGUAUGCAAUAGCUAGCCAUACUUUAUUUUACCACAACAAAAUUGAUGGUGAUUAAAUCAAUUUUCUCAAUUAAAGCAAAAUUUUAAAAAUUGAUUUAAUGCACAAAUAUGAUGAGUUUUUGUAAAAAUUAGUUUUGGAAAAUAUAGUGAGAGAAAAUGGUGACGAUUAUUUUCAGAUGUGCAAAUAGCCUAAACAUAAUCUCUAAUACCAAUAUCCAUGUGCAUCUUAAUACCUUUCAUGAUAUUCUUUCAUUCAUGGCCAUUUGUUCAAGAUUUGAAUUUGAUUAUUAAAUCAUGUUCAAUAAUGUUAGAGAUCCCAACAAUUGAAUACCAACUUAAAUCCCAAUGCUAUGUGUCAUUAACAAAUGUUGUGUCAUUUAUAAUUAUUGAAUGAAUAAUUCGUUAAUUUAUUGAUAAAUAAAAAUUUAUUAAUUUAAAGAGAGAUACUUCUUCUUUUUUUGUUUUAAGAAGAGUUUUGUUGGUACAUGUACAUACUUAUAAAGAAAUAAACUUGUAAUUAUACUAUAUCUUUCUUUCUUUGUUCAGUUUGGUGGGAUAUUGUGAUAAAUCAUUGGAUUAAAAUACAUUUCUAAAUUAAAACUUGUUAAAAUCUAAUUUAUUUGGGAAACGCAUAUUAUUUGUCAGUUGUACUUCUCAACUUAGCAAGUUAUUUCUAACUUGUCAGUCUCUAUUGGUUCUCUAAAAGCUAAUAGUCUCGAAUCUCCCGCAUUUGAUAUCUUGCCAUUACUGUUGGCAUUUGUUAAGUAUAGCUGAAGCUGGUGACGUGUAUAAGCUGCUGAUGAAGCUGCUGAGUUGGCUGGCUGGUGAUGUGUAUAAACUGAAGGUGCUGAGCUGGAUUGGGUUGUUGUUCACACCAACUAAAGAUGUAACAGAUUAUCCAGCUGGCUUGUUAUGAUUGGAAGUUAGAUUAGUUUGUUAAUACAGCAAACAAUGAGCUCUGUUUUGGUAGUUAGUUUUGAGUGUAACUAUAAAUACUGGCUAACAUGUUUUCAGUGUUAAGCUUGAGUUUUAAUCAAUAAAAAUCAAUUCAGUUAAAGUUUCUUUGUUAACUUUCUUUCACUUUCUCACUUGCCAAACAACCUAUUAAUUCUAAAAUGGUAUCAGAGCUUGCACCUAUGUCAGGAUCUAAUCAUAUAGCUUCCUCAUCACUUUCAUUCAAUUUUGUUCAACCUAUAAAACUCGAUAGAUCAAACUACUUGGUGUGGAAAGCUCAAGUUAGAACAUCGAUCAUUGCUAAUGGACUUGAGAGCUUCAUCAAUGGUGAGAGUGUAUGUCCAAAAUGUUAUCUCAUUGAUUCUAUUCAAGAACUUCAAAGAUCUGGAGCUGAAACAUCACAGAAGCAGGAAAAUCCAGAGUAUAUCUUAUGGAUGAAAACUGACAAACUUCUGCAGAGCUGGAUGCUUUCGUCAAUGGUGGACAAUGUAUUAAUCAUGGUGAUCAAUUGUGAAACAUCACUUGAACUUUCGGAGAUGCUUGCUAGAAUCUUCAUGUCACAAUCCAAAGCGAGAUAUCUGCCUUUGAAGAUGCAGAUUCAAUCAACAAAUAAAGGAUCUCUCUCCAUCAGUGAUUACUUCAAAAGGAUGAAGAAAAUUGCUGAUAGCUUGGCCAUUGGAGGUAAUCCAAUUACUUCGAAUGAACUGAUUAUUCACUUGCUUACUAGAUUGGAUGAAAACUAUGAAUCCAUAGUCACAAAUAUACUUACUAGACUGGAAAAAGAGAGACUUACUGCUGAAGAGGUGUACUCUAUGUUACUUAGUCAUGAAACUAGGUUGGAAAUGAGCAAAGGAAAAUCACAUAAUGAACCUCUGCAUGAUAUGACAUCAAAUUUUGCUCAGAAAGGCCAAGGUUAUAAUACUGGUCCUGGAAGAGAUGUUGUGUGUCAAAUCUGUUACAUUCCAGGCCAUGGAGCUUAUAAGUGUAAACAUAGAUUCAAUCAAGGGUUUAUUCCUAGAAACAAAGGCUUUGGUGGUUUCAGGCCAAGAGGUGGAGGUCAGAAUUAUAGAGGAUUCCCUAGAAAUAAUCAGAAUUAUUUUGGUAGAGGUUCUGGAUACAAUAGUUCUGCUUUUGGAUCUGGAUUCAGACCUAACUUUCCCAGGCAAGCCGGACCUACUGGACCUUUCUUUGGCUAUGUUGCCUAUCAGAAUCCAGGAUUCAUGAAUCCUCAAGGUGCCUUUGACUUUCCAAGUGCAAAUGGUGAUUAUACUGGUGUUCCAACAGCAAACAUGUAUGUUGGAAAUUAUGGCAUUCCUCAUAAUGUCUCUCCCUCUGCACAAUUGGCAAACUUCAGCAAUGUAGCUGAUUCAGCCUGGUACCUUGACUCUAGAGCAACAAAUCACAUUGCUCAAGAUGCAGGUAUACUUUCUAAGUGCUCAACUUACCAUGGCCUUGAAAAACUACAUGUAGGAAAUGGUAUGGGGCUGCCUGUUCAUAAUGUUGGUUUUGUUGCUGUUAAAACCUUGACUACAACACCUAUAUACCUAAAUCAUGUUCUGCAUGUCCCUAAAAUUACUAAAAACCUUAUCAGUGUUUCCAAAUUGCUUGCUGAUAACAAUGUUUUUAUUGAGUUUUACAACCAUGUUUGUUUUGUUAAGGACAAGAAUUCAAGAAUCACAUUGCUCAAGGGGAUUGUUAGAGGAGGUCUUUAUCAAGUUUCAAGCUUAAAUACAGUCUGUGAUAACUCCAGUUCAGUGUUCCCAGUGUCAACCACUUCUGAGUUUGUUUUUACUUCAAUAAGUACAUUCCCAGCAACUCCAGUGUCUAUGUUUACUCAACUAAGUUCAUUUGAUACUAAGUUUCACUCUUGUAUGCUUGUAAAUAAUUCUCAAAUCAAUAAGAAUGUCCCUGUGGCUCACUUUGCUUCAUAUAACAAGCCUAUUGAUUAUAGUUUACUGCACAAAAGAAUGGGUCAUCCAACUACUCAUGCUUUAAAACAGAUCAUGAAAUGCCUGAACUCAAAUUUUAUUCUUCCCAAAGAUUUCACAACACAGUUCUGUGAUGCCUGUCAACUAGGCAAGUGCCAUACGCAGCAUUUUCCCUCCAUAGAAACUUCAACCACUCAGCCCCUUGAAUUACUACAUGCUGACCUUUGGGGACCAGCUCCCAUUACCUCUUCACAAGGUUACACCUACUAUCUAUCUAUCUUAGAUGACUACACUCGAUACACUUGGAUUUUUCCUCUCAUUGCCAAAUCCAAAACCUUGUCAGCCUUUAUUGAAUUCAAAAACAUGAUUGAAAACUGCCUGAACUUGAAAAUUAAAUGUUUACAAACUGAUUGGGGUGGAGAAUUCAGGCCUUUUGUGUCAUAUCUUUCUAACCAGGGUAUACAAUUUUGACAUCCCUGCCCUUAUAUCCAUCAUCAACAUAUUACCUGAGAUUGGGAUUCAUUAAAAUCCUCAAUGUAAUCGGUGGAACGAAUGGAUUUCUUCUGUUCACCAAUCCACCAAAAUUUCUGUAAUUAAAUUCAAGAGUCAAGAUCUAUGCUUAUAAUCUAUUCAACAGCUAAUAUUCUAUUUUAUAUUUACUUAAAUAUGAAGAGCUAUGCUUGUCAUUAACUUCAAAUGUGAUCGAAGCAGCCUUACAUCUGUAUAUUACGUAUUCCCAACUUUUUUUUGACUUCAUUUACUUUCUUUUCAUGUUAUUUACUCUUUUUUCCCCCUCUCUGACAAUUGAGGUAGGGGGUCAAACUUGAAAGUAUCUUAAAAUCAAACAAUUUUUUUUUUAAGAUAGCUGCUAAUAUGCUCUAUUAGACAAUGAUAAGUAAUAACCUAGUUGUUUGCAUUAGAAAUGAUAUUUUUUGUGGUGCUGAUAAAGAGGUUGAUUAUGAUUCAACAAUUUAAAAUAUGAAAACAUGUGGAAGACGGCCGCAAUUAAAUUGAUUGUAUGAAAAUAUUUCAAUGAAAUUUUAAAAAUUUAGUACUUGUUAUCUUAUCGAGAGUUUUUUAAAUUUUUCUACUUGAACUUGACUGCUUUUGUAUUGAAUUCCUAGCGUUGCCAUUGCUUCUACUCAAAAGCCAUUUAGUUACUCAUGAAUUGUUGUUCAUAAUAGCAAUUUGAUUGAAAGUGCGGCUGCACUAAUUUUCUAGAUGAAUUUUUUCCUACAUGCUUGUUCUCGUAUGACCCAAAAUCCUGCUACAUCAGUUGUAUUAGAAAUUAAUCAACUGGGUUACAAUUAUGCAUCCCCACCAAUAUUUAAGCAAUUUAAUUACAGAAACAUUUCUUGAGGAAAGAAACUCAUAUCGCCACUAGGCUUUUAAUGAGGCUCAUUUUUAUGAAUCUGGAUGGCAUUAGAUAUCUCUCCGAAUAUUGGUGGGAGUAGAUAUGCUACAAAGUGUAUGUACGUUGACUCUCAAUAAAUACAAACGAUUCUCUGAUCUGAUUCAAAACAUCAGUACAUGCAUCAUUUUAAUGAGAAAGAAUAUUCUAAGAACGAAAUUGAAGGUGCAAUCAGCAGCUAAAAUGAAGCCAGAAAUGUACACGCAUGAGGAAGUUUUCCAAGAAGAUUGAUAUUUCUUUGACUAGCAAACCAUACAAGUCCAAAGCUAGCUAAACCAUACCUGCAAGUCGGGGGUUUAAAUGGAGUACUUCUAAGCAUAAAACAUUGAUUAAAACAGAAUACACACAUACAUACCAGCAAAUUCAAUAUAGCAAAAGGAGUGCAAAAGUUCAAGUUUGUAGACAACAUUGCAACCAUGGCAUGUUUAUAGCAAAUCCUCGAAAUCUGCUAAAUAAAACAAUGCCCUGUCUCAUGAAUCAAUGCUGAAUUAAAAUUGAAACUGAAAGUCUGGCUGGCGGUGUUUCCCUCUCCAAUUUUGCCUACAUAAGUGAAAAUAAGAAUAAUAAAUGGAAAUCUGCUUUUACAGUUCUUAUUAGAUAGAUAUAAAGGGAUCUUUCUUUGUUUCUCUGCUGUAAUUUGUGGCUAUGCCACUCUGUUUUUCCAGUCAAGCUGAGUCUACGUUGAGACAUAAUUUUGACAUCAGAAGCAACCUCAAUUAGUUUGGCAUUUUCAUGACCUCCUUGAAGGUUUUAUGAUAAACAUAAAUCCACUGAGAAAGUGGGAAAAAAAGAAAAUGCAUAUAAAAGUAUGAGUUAUCAGAUAAGAUUAAAACUCACCCAAUUCAAUCCAUCAGAUUCCGUAAGGAUAUAACUGGAUGUCAUACCGCCACUCCAUAUCCUCGAAAGUCCGUAGUCCUUGUCUCAACUGUGUCUGGGGCCAGUGUAAGUCCAAUUUGCGCAAGCUCUUUAUGCACCACAGCUCUUCUGGAAGCUUUCUCAAGUAAGCACAUGGGUUGACAAUUAAGCUUUCAAGUUUCGGCAUUGCUCCAGCCGCCAUCGUCCACUCAUCUAGCCAAUACAUUGAUUUCAGGUGCAAAACCUUAAGUUCGGGAAAGCUACUCAAGCCAACACAAGCAAGCUUUCUUCCUAAAUACGAGUUCUGCUUCAGUUUCAGCACUCGAAGGCGUGGAAGAUUUUCCAGAAUUGGCAUGGGAUCCUCCAUUAGCUCAGUAUUUGAUAAGCUCAGUUGGAUCAGACUUGGGGGAAAUUGGUAUUCAGACAGGACCAUCCGUGAGGGCUUGCUCUCAUUCACCAGCUUCAAGCAUUCAAGUUUGUGGAGUUCGCAAAGGCUUUUGGAAACCCCAGAUUGAUAGUAACUCAAAUCUCCAGAUAUCCGAAGAGUCCGAACACUAGGUAGUCUGCCCAAUAUAUCAGGAGUACAACUACUAGGGUUUAAAGCUGAUAUGAAAAUGAGAUUUUUCAGAGAGCUAGAAUAAUUUUUUGGAGGUGCGGGCAGAGUGAUGCAACCGAAGUUUAGAUGCAUGAGUUUUUGCAUCAUCCAAAUAUCCUCUGGUGACUGAUCUAUGUAGCUAGAUGGCAUUUCUAGUGUUUCAAGGUUUAAAAGGGUGCAUAGCAGUGAAGGAAGGCAUUUGAGCGAAGGGAUAUUCAAUUUCAAAUACUUCAAAAGAUAUAAAUUUUCUAAUCCGGGUGGAUAUUGGUCCAGGACUGCAGAACCCAUGUUCAAUACCCGAAGGUAUUUGAACCUUUUAAAAAAAUUCUCGCAAUCUUUCGGAUUAAGAUGAUUGCUUUUUGAACUGUGAUUCAGAAAAGAUUGGAGACACAUGUCAGAAUGUUCUAAAGAAAAGAACUCAAUCAGAUCAUCGUCAAUGACGCACCGUUUAACAUUUGCCACUGAUUCCUCUUCCACGUCAUGCAUCCAGACAAAUCCCGUCUUCAUUGCCACAAUAUACAAUGAAGUGUAUACAAAACUUGGAACAUAACACGCUUUAAUUGUGCCUCUGGCUCUUCUCUUACUCACUUGAAUGAAGCCGCGAUGGAUUAGUUCUUUCAAGUAAUGUUCGGCAGUUUCUUCACCGUUGUAUGGUAUGAAACCUUCAGCUACCCACAACUGAUAUAAUUGCUCCGUAGAUAUCUCAAUACUUGGAGGGAAGACAUACAAAUAGAUGCAGCAGACUUUCAAGUGAAAAGGCAACUCCAUCACAGAAAAAAUUUGUCUCCAAACUGUCAGAACCACUUCGCCUUGAAGAUAAUUUUCUAAUGGCAUACUUCCAUAGUGUAGGAUGAAAAAUUGCCAGGCCUCAUGCUUUAAUCUGAUCAAUGGUCCUCCAAAGAGCACUGAAUCACGCCGAAUCUUCUCUUCAUUUUCCAUUUCCAACGACGCAAUGAGGCCCGGAUCAGUGACUGUUAUCAAUACUCUGCUUCCAUUCUCAUCACCAGGAAGAAGUUCUUCGAGAUCACUCCAUAUCUCACUGUUAUCGAAGACAUCAUCAAGCAAAAUAAAGUACUUCUUGUUUGUUAGGUAAUCUCGAAGAAUAGAUUUCUUCAAUUGAUAAUCUUCACCGAUAAUUACACUAACCCGAGAUGGAGGCAUCACAGACUUGAUUAUGUCAUCCAACAUCUUGCCAAAAUCAUAGAAUAUAGAAACCCUGACCCAAGCAAGACAGUCAAAAUAGAACUUGACAUGGUUAUUAUUGUAAGUAUCUUCUGCAAAAGCAGUCUUAUCGAAGCCACUGCUGUCGAGAAUUGUAACCACUGCAAGCCGAGGGCGUCCUUCAAUCAAUAAAUCAAACAACUCCUCCCUGCCCCUUUCAAAUUCAUUGAUAUCAAGCCGAGGUUGUCCCUCACUCAAUAGGUGAAUGAUUUCGUUACUUUUUUUACUGAUAUCAAAACCAUUGUCGCCGGGUGGAAGUUGUUGCAUCCGAUUACUAAUAUCAAUGAUUUUACUGUGGAGACCAGCAAGAAGAGCCAUAUUAGUACUGCUUUCACUUUCGUUUUCACUGUUUUGCUGCUGCAUAAUGUUGAUGAAGAAUGUGUCAAUGGCUUCCUCAGAUUCAUGGACAAAGUCAUUGAUGUCCUUCACAAUGCCCAAAAGGUCCGCUCUUUCAACUUCUUCUUCAUCGCUUUCUUCUAAGUCCAACAGUUGCAAAAAAGGCAAAGAUAUUUUGGAGUCAUCGAAUUCUUCUCUAAUGAGUUGAAAGAAAUGCCGAGCCAUGUCAGCUUCAUAUUUUCCCAGCAGGGUAGUAGCAAUAAUUUCGGACUCCGUAAGAAGGUUUUGAAAAAGUGGGGUUAAAUUUGUUGAAUCAGGCAGCGUUAACGGGCCUUCUUCACCUGCUAACACCCUUUUCAACCUCUCACAAAACAGUCGGAGGUGGAAUUCCAGCAUAUCUCCUUCUCUCCGUAGCACUCAGAGGUAUAGCUGAAAGAUUAAACACCAUGGAAGAAUUUGAAAGGAAAAUGCCAAGACAUUAUUGCUCAUUUUUUAACUCAAAAGAUUGAUACGCGUUCAUUUAGAGAAAAGUCCAAGACGCGUGCCUUUUGAAAAGAACAGGUAUCCCAAUCGGUAUCCGACCGAUAUCUUAUUAAAUUACAACCAUGACAUAAUUGAUGGUGCUUAAAUCAAUUGUUUCUUUUUUAAUUUAAAGAAUUUUUCAUUAAAAAAAUAUUUUAAUAUCAAAUUGCUUUCAGUGGCGUAACUGCCUCAAGCCCAGUAACAGGACUAAUUAAAAAUUUUACAAUUUUUGGGCAUGGAAAUAGUAGUAUUAAACAUUAGAAAGGUAAGGUCGUUCUGUUAAAGAAUUGAUAUUGACAUAAUUUUUUUUGGUUUUCGGGGGAAAAAAAAUUGUUGACAAGCAAGAAAAUAUUUUUAUAUUUUAUAAUUUAUUAUACAUAUUUUAUCUUAUUAAAGUAAUUUUAAUAAUAAAUAGAAACAUAAUAUUACGAUAAAUAAAUUAAAGUUGAACUUAUUUUGAAUAUUAUAAAAAAUAAUUUUAAUAUUAUUAAUAGGAAGACAUUGUAUUAAUUUUAAACUUUUUUAACCCAAAGGUUUAUUUAAAAUCUUUAUUAGAAAUACAAAUAUAAAAUUAAAUAUCAUAAUUUAAAAUUUUUAAUAUUAUUUUAAGUAUUAAAAAUAUUUUAAUGUUAUUAGUCUACUACAUAGAUCAUAUUACUUAUAUAAUAUUUGUAUUAUUAAAAAUUGUUAAAAUCAAAUUUUUAGUUAGUAUAUUCAUGAGCUAUUAUGGUUAAAAAAAAAAAGACCUUAUUAUUACUUUUUUAAAAAUUGAGGGCCUGCGUGAUAAUUUUUUCAAAAAGAAAAUGCUUGGUAUGUAGGAGGGGUACAGAAACAGGACUCCCAAAAUCUCUCACCCUUUUUUAAUUAAAAAAAAAAAUUAAAAUAUCAAUAAAAAGUAAUAAAGAAAAUAGAAUUUUAUCUGCUCCUUACUCCAUUUUUGCAACUCUCUCACCAUCCCUAUCGAGCAGCCCUCUCUCUCACUGUCUCACUCACACAGUCCUUUUCACGAUUUGAAAUUCUUUGGCCCUCUGCAUUACAAGAAAUUAACGCUUUGGUUCUCCCAAGGGUAGAUUGGUUUUAUUGGGAAGCUAUUAAUUUUUUUUUUUUUUGAAUACUGAUUAAUCAUCAGAUUACUGCAUUACACAGAUAUUUACAACAACUGCUAUUGUAGCAGAGAUAUUAUACUGAUAUUUACAAUCAGAUAUACAUAAUUGGGACUUAUAUUAUGACAUUGAAUUCUAUGAAGUACAUGCCCAAACAAAUAACCCCUCACAGGAGAGGGAUGUCCAUACUCCACUCGCAUUUCGCAAGGGAGAAUGAUUUUUUGGAAGUAUAAAGAACAUUUAGCCCCCACAAUACUUUUGUGGGGGCUAGAACCGCUGCAGCAUUGUGAGGGCAGCAGCCCACCACUUCGGCCUUGGCCGAAGUGGCGGGAAGCUAUUAAUUAGAAGGAGGAAAAAGGACUAUAUUUAGAAUAUGAUUUGUUGGAGAAUCUCAGAGUUAGUCAAUUUUCAAGCCACACUUUCAAUAGCCAAUUGAUUUAGUAACCAUUAAUUACUUUAAUUUCCAUAAAUUGUAAUGACAGUGCAAAUGCAUCUGGUUGUGAUAGCUAAGGGUUAGCUUGAAGAAUUAAAUUUCAUAAGAUAUUACUGGAAAAUGCUUUGCAGAUAACGUGCUGCUUCCUUUGCUAGACUACAAUUUCAAAAAUCUCACGAGUUUUCCAUUGUUGUCACAAACCGAGAAAUUAUAAAAUACAUGGCCUGGUUCUUUGGCAAUGACCAUCUCAUCGUCGGCGGUCGUGUCGUCAUUGUCACUGUUCUUGCUCGACCGAGACAGUGAGAGAGAGGUUUGUUAGAUGGAGUUAGUGAGAGAGAGUUGUAAAGAUGGAAUGAUGAUAAAAGGAUUCUAUUUGUUUUUAUUGUUUUUUAUUAAUAUUUUAAUUUUUUAAAUUAAAAUGUGCUGCCGUUUCUCUAGCCUUUUUAGCUGCUUAACUUAACAGUAUUCUUUUCAAAAUUUAAGAAUGUAGUAGGUGUCCUUUUCUCUAAUAAUUUAUUUCAUUUUUAGGGAAUCCAAUGAGAAAUAUGAUAAAAGAACGUCAAUUACUUGUCGUUUUCAAUUUUUUCUAUAAGCUAUUUAUUUUGAGCAUUAGUGAUCUUGUCUGGACUACCCCAAUUAUUGACGUAACUCCAGUGGCUGCAUCCACUGGAAAAAGUGGAUGAGACCAUUUUUUUUUUCAUAAAGGUAACUACUCCAAUUAUUGACAUAAUUGAUGGUGCUUAAAUCAAUUUUUUCUUUCUUUUUUUUAAUUUAAAGAAUUUUGCUUUAAAAAAUAAUUAAUAUCAAAAUGCCUUCAAUGUUGUUACCGCCACAAGCCCAGUUAGAGGACUCAUUAAAAAUUUUAGAAUUUUUAGGCCUGGAAAGCAUAGUAUUAAACAUCAGAAAGCAAAGGUUGUUAUGUCGAAGAAUUGAUGUCGACAAAAUUUUAAUUUUGUUUUCGGAAAAAAAAAAAAAUUUUGUUGACAAGCAAGAAAAUAUUUUUUAUACUUUACAAUCUGCUAUACAUAUUUUAUCAUAUUAAAGUAAUUUUAAUAAUAUAUGGAAACAUAAUAUUAUAAUAAAUAAAUUAAAAUUACUUUGUAUUAUUGAAUAUUACAAAAAGAUAAUUUUAAUAUUAUUAAUAGGAAAACAUUUUUUAAUUGUAAAAUCUUUUUAAUACAAAAAUUCGUUUAAAAUCUUUAUAAUAAAUACAAAUAUAAAAUUAAAAAAUAUCAUAAUUUAAAAUUUUUAAUAUUAUUUAAAUAUUAAAAAUACUUUAAUGUUAUUAGUCUACUACAUAAAAUAUAUUAUUUAUAUUAUAUUCGUAUUGAUUAAAACGUUUUAAAGUCAAAUUUUUAAUUAGUGUAUUCAAAGGUACAAAAGAUUUAAGUAUUAUUUUUUAAAAAUUUCAAGAUACGAAUGAUAAUUUUUUCAAAUUUUAAAGAUGUAAAAAUCUUUUUUUCUGAUAAUUUAUUUCACUUUUGAGAGAAUCCGAAAACGUUAAUUUAACAUUCUUUACCUUUGUAAAAAAAGUGAAAAUCAAGAACUAUUCAAUUUUGUUUUUAUUUGUAAUUCAAAAACUUUAUUCAUUUUCGAUGCUUUUCAAAAGAGAUUCCUUUAAAUGUCUGCAGCUCCUGCUUUUCUCAUAAAUCUCCAUCCCACAUCUACACUAUCAAGUAUCAAACAAGUUGAUGGAAAUUCUUAUAAAAAAAAAAAAAAAAUUGAUGGAAAUUGAUCAAUUGCUUUUUGAAGUGGACCCAUUGAGUCAUGUUCAUUUCUGGUCAUUGUCUACUCUUUCUAUCAGCCAUUUAUUUUGACCAUUUGCGAUCUUAUCUGGACCUACUCCAAUUAUUGUUGUAACUCCGAUGGUUGUAUCUACAGUGGAAUGUAAGAUAGUGAAAGCUCUUUCUUUGAGAAAAUAGAGGGACCUUUCUCUGUUUCUCCGUUGCAACGUGCUCGUAUAAAUUUCUCUACCUUACAGUUUAUACGGUCUUGCUGUUAAUGAAUUCGCUGAGGCAUUAUUGAUCCAAUCUGAGUGAAGUAAUUGUGGGUGAAAAAUAAAUAAAGGAUAUGAGAACGUAGCUGAAGUGCUGAAGGGGCUAUUAAAGAAGAGUGUCACUUGAUCACAAUCACAUUGAUGCACAACUCACUCGUGGCAAAUUUCGACUAUACGUUCUGCAAAUUCAGCCAAACCAUACAUGCAUGAACAAAACUAAAAUGUAGUUCUAAUCACAACUGCAGUUAUGAUGUUUACCUCUCUGAUUUUUCUCCAAAACAAAUUCAGUUCAAAACAAUAAUCAAAAUAGCCACAUUUUGUUCGUCAAAAUAAAUGCCCAAAUUUUCAAUUAACAAAUCAUCUUCUCUAAACUAAAAAGCCCACAUCUCUAAAAUCAAUCUACAUAAUGUUGGAGAUGAGGGUUGAAUUGUUAACUCAGUAAAAAAAAAAAAACUCAUGCAUAAGAUUACUAAUAAUAUAAAUUAUAUAUUAAUCAUUAUAAAGAAUCAUAAAUUAGAAAAAUUAAUCAUUUUAUAAUUUAUUACACAAGUAAGAUAAAUCUCAUAAUAAGUUAUAACAUAAAAAACGUUAUCAAUAUAUAAUCAUUUAAGAAGUCAUUUAACAAUAAAAUCGUUCUUUGAUCAGUUGGCCAUGUCACAUAGUAUCAUCUAUAUUUAUGGUGAUACUAUUAUUACUCAGUAUUCUCAAAAAACAUGAUUUAACAUUUAGAGGAAAUUCUUGCCUUAAAAAAAAAACAUGUAUGCAACAGCUACCCAUGCUUUAUCUUACCAUGACAAAUAUUUUCUCAAUGAAAGAAAUUUUUUAAAAAAUUGAUUUAAUGCACAAAUAUGAUGAUUUUUGCAAAAAUUAGUUUUGGAAAACAUAGUGAGAGAAAAUAGUGACGAUUAUUGUUUAAAUGUAUAAAUAGCCUAAACAUAAUCCUUAAUACCAAUAUCCAUAUGCAUCUUAUCAUCUUUCAUGAUAUUCUUUCAUUUAUGUCCAUUGGUUCAAGAUUUGAAUUUGAUCAUUAAAUCAUGUUCAAUAAUAUUAGAGAUUCCAACAAUUGAGUACCAACUUAAAUCCCAAUGUUAUGUGUCAUUGACCAAUUUUGUGUCAUUGACCAAUUUUGUUAUUAACUAGGUGAUGAAUUUCUAGUUGAUAAAAUCACUUAAAAAUAUCUUAAAAAUUAGACAAUAGUUUGCUUAAUUUUUCCAAGUUAACUGCUCAAGAUGCUCUAUUAGAAAUGAUAACCUAAUUAUAUACAUAAAAAAUGAUGGAAAUUGAACAAUUGCUUUUUGAAGUGGACCCAUUGAGUUAUGUUCAUUACUGGUCAUUGUCUAUUCUUUCUAAGAGCCACUUGUUUUGAGCAUUAGCAAUCCUAUCUGGACUACUCCAAUUAGGAUAGUGUUAGUUCUUUUUUGAGAAUUUCUUUAUUUGUUUCUCCGUUGCAGCGUAUUAGUAUAAAUUUCUUUACCUUACAGUUCCUACAGUCUUCCUGUUAAUGAAUUCGCUGAGGCAUUAUUGAUCCAAUCUCGGUGAAGUAAUUGUGGGUGAAAAAAAAAAAAAAGGAUAAGAGAACGUAGCUCAAGUGCUGAAUUGACUAUUAAAGAAGAGCGUCACCUGAUCACAAUCACAUUGAUGCACAACUCACUCGAGGCAAAUUUCAUCUAUAAAUAAAAGAUCCCUUACUAUUCUCUUAACCCUGAGUUUUGAGAUAGAAAUUUCCCGAACUCCAACCCCACAUCCACAGACAAGUUGAUUGAAACAAUUGCUCUUGUAAUUAAGAGGAUGGGUUAGGGUUCAGUUCUUAUCAUUGUCUGUUAUUUCUUUGAAUCAUUAUCUUAAUUAAUUACAUCAAUUGUUUCUUUUUUUUAAUUUAAAGAAUUUUUCUUUAAAAAAAUAUAUUUUAAUAUCAAAAUGCCUUAAAUGGUAUUACUGCCGCAAUCCCAGUAACAGGAUUAAUUAAAAAUUUUAGAAUUUUUGGGCAUGGAAAGAGUAGUAUUAAAUAUCAGAAAGCUAAGGUUGUUCUGUCAAAGAAUUCAUAUUGGCAUAAUUUUAUUUUUGCUUUCGAGUAAAAAAAUAUAUAUAUAUAUAUUUGUUGACAAGCAAAAUACUGUUUUUAUAUUUUACAAUCAGUUAUACAUAUUUUAUCAUAUUAAAGUAAUUUUAAUAAUAAAUGGAAACAUAACAUUACAAUAAAUCAAUUAAAGUUUAAAUUAUUUGGAAAAUUAUAAAAAAUAAUUUUAAUAUUAUUUAUAGGAAGAUAUUUUGUUUAUUGUAAAAUCUUUUUAACCCAAAGGUUUAUUUAAAAUUGUUAUAAUAAAUAAAAUAUAAAAACAAAAUAAAUAUCAUAAUUUAAAAUUUUAAUAUUAUUUUAAAUAUUAAAAAUACUUUAAUGCUAUUAGUCUACUACAAAGGUUAUAUUACUUAUAUUAUAUUUGUAUAAAUUAAAACUUUUAAAGUUAAAUUUUUAAUUACUAUAUUGAAAAGGUAUUAUGGUUAAAAUAUGUUUUGGCAUUUCUUUUUAAAAAUUUGAGGGUCUGCAUGACAAUUUGUCCAAAUCCUAGAGGUAUAGGUGUCUUUUUUUUUCGAUAAUUCAUUUUACUUUUGAGGGAAUCCGAUGAGAAAUAAGAUAAGAGAAACGUCAAUUUAACGUUCUCUAUGGAAAACCAAGAACUAUUCAAUUUUGUAUUUUUUGUUUGUAAAACGAAAAACAGUUUGCCAAAAAAGGUACCAAACAUAUCCUUAAUGUCUCACAUGAUUUCUUAUUAAGUCCAUACUCGAUAUAUUUAUACAUUUUAGGUAUUUUAGUUAUAAAAGAAGUUGGUCCUCCCUCUAUUUAUAAAAGGUAACUUUAUUUCGAGAUUACCACUAAAGUCUUACAAAGAAUUAGUGUAAUGUUAACAGAGAGUAACAUAGUUUUCCAUUACCAUUUUGAAAAUAGAAAGAUAUGGAUGUGUGCAUUUAAUGGUGUGUUUACUUACCGGAUUGAGGAAUCAGAAUCUGGAAUUAGAAUGAUUGAUGGUGUUUACUUCGCAAAUAUGGAGCAGGAAUCGGAACUGGAAUGGUGGGGCCCACCACUAUUUGGGAAUGAGAGAUUGAUUCCCAUGGGGGAAGGUGGGAACGAGUCUCCCAUUCCCUGGACUGACCAUUUUGCCCUCCCUCAAAAUUAAAAAUGCCUACUUUGUCCUCUUUUAUAAUUAAUUAAUAUAUAAAUAUUUUAAUAACUAUAAUUAUUAAAAAUUAUAGUUCUUGAAUAAAUAAUCACAAUAAUUAAUUUAUUAUUUUUAUUUUUAUUUUAAUUAAUUAAUAUACUAUUAUAAUAAUUAUAAAUAUAAUUAAUUUAUAUAUUAUUAUUAUUAUUAAUGAAUUAAUAUAAUUAUUACUAUUAAUUAAUAUAUUAAUAUAUUAUUAAAAAUAAUAUAUUAAUAAUUAUUGUUCGUGAACAAAUAAUCACAAUAAUUAAUAUACUAUUAUUUUAAUUAAUUAAUAUAAUUAAUUUAUAUAUUAUUAUUAUUAUUAAUGAAUUAAUAUAAUUAUUACUAUUAAUUAAUAUAUUAAUAUAUUAUUAAAAAUAAUAUAUUAAUAAUUAUUGUUCGUGAACAAAUAAUCACAAUAAUUAAUAUACUAUUAUUUUAAUUAAUUAAUAUACUAUUAUAAUAAUUAUUAAUAUAAUUACUAUAAUUAAUUCAUAUAUUAUUAUAAUUAAUUAAUUAAAUUAAUAUUAUUAAAUAAAUAAAUAAUAUAAUUAUUACUACUAAUUAGUAUAUUAAUAUAUUAUUAAAAAUAAUUAUAAUUUUUGAAUAAAUAAUCACAAUAAUUAAUAUAUUAUUUUAAUUAAGUAAUUAAUAUUAAUAUUAUUAGUUAAUAUAUUUUUAUAAUAAUUUUUAAUAUAGUUAUUAUAAUUAAUUAAAUUUUGUUACAAUUAAUUAAUAUAUUAGUUAAUAAUAAUUAUGACAAUAAUCCACUAAGUAUUUUUGAGUAAUUUGUUACAAUCUAAUUCAUUUUGAUUCCGAUUUCAAGACAAAGUAAACACAUUAAUGACAAUCUAGCUCAUUCCGAUUUCGAUUCCUACAGUUCAAGUAAACAACUUAUUUUGAUUUUCAUUACCUAUUUACAUUCCAGCCCAUUCUCAUUUCUUCCCAUUCUCAUUUCUGCCAAUUCCAAUUCCAGCUCAUUCCGAUUCCAGUUUAGUAAACGCAGCAUAAGAGUUAUCAUGAAAAUCAUACAAUUCAAUUUCCUGAAAUAUAUAUUUUAUUCACAUGUGCCAAAAGAAUAAAUAGAUAGAAAGUAAAUUUACAAUCCUCACUCCCUCACAAUUGUUAAAGUGAAUAUGCAUUACAACUGUGAACUGUCACUACUUUAGCCCCUUUUUUUUUUUCAAUUAUAGUGUGAUGGAGACAGUGAACAUCAAGGAUAAAGUGCUCUGCUGAAAGCGGAACUUCCUCUGGCUAAUUAAUUUGGAAGUAAAACAGAGAAUAAAGUCCUACAUGCCUUCUGAAAUUAGAAAUACAUUUUAUAUGCUUUAAUUAUGAUUAUUUGGUAGACUAUUGACCAAAAGACAUGUUAAAGUAUAAAACAGAGCGAUUAAAGAAAAAAAAAGGAGUGUUUGUGACGUAGAAUAACAAUUUGUAAGUAAAGUCCUAAUUUGAGUUGUCAAAAAGCAAAUAUAACAGGGAAGGUAAGAGGGAUGCAGAAACAGAAAACUAUUAGCUUAUCUUGAUUUUCCCACUAUAUUCAUUUUCGAUGCUUUUCAAACGAGAUUCUUUUAAUCCUUCUGGCGUCUGCAGCCCCUGGUCUUCUUAUAAAUUUCCAUCCCACAUCUGCACUAGGAACAAGUUGAUUGAAAUUAAAUAACAUUGGAGAUGACGGACAGAUGAGCCGUCAACUUGGUAAAAAAACUAUGUUAAUAUUGUUAAUAAUAAAAAAAAAUAUAAUAAUCAUUACAAAGAAUCAUAAAUUAGAAAAAUUAAUUAUUUUACAAUCUAUUUCGUAAGUAAGAUAAAUCUUGUAAUAAGUUAAGUUAUAACGUAAAAAAUAUUUUCAAUUUAUAAUCAUUUAAGAACUCAUUUAACAAUAAAAUCUUUCUUUUGAUCAAUUGGUCAUGCCACAGAGUAUCAUCUAUAUUCGUGGUGAUAUUAUUAUUACUCCGUAUUCUCAAAAAACACGAUUUAACAUUUAGAGAAAAUUCCUACCUUUUAAAAAGAACAUGUAUGCAACAGCUACCCAUACUUUAUCUUACCACGACAAAACUAAUGGUGACUAAAUCAAUUUUCUCGAAUAAAGCAAAAUUUCUUAAAAUUAAUUUAAUAUACAAAUAUGAUGACAUUUUGCAAAAAUUAGUUUUGGAAAAUAUAGUGACAAAAAAUAGUAAUGAUUAUUGUUUAGAUGUGUAAAUAGCCUAAACAUGAUCCCUAAUACCAAUAUCCACGUACAUCUUAACACCUUUCGUGAUAUUCUUUCAUUCAUGGUCACUGGUUCAAGAUUUGAAUUUGAUCAUUAAAUCAUGUUCAAUAAUAUUAGAGAUCCCAACAAUUAAGUACCAACUUAAAUCCUAAUGCUAUGUGUCAUUGACAAAUGUUGUGUCAUUUUUUGUUAACUGAGUGAUGAAUUUCUAGUUGAUAAAAUUACUUAAAAAUAUCUUAAAAAUCAGACAAUAGUUUGCUUAAUUUUUUGAAGCUAACUGCUCAAGAUGCUCUAUUAGAAAUGAUAACCUAAUUAUAUACAUAAAAAAUGAUGUAUUUUUUGCGGUGUUGAUAGUGAGAUUAUCAUUCAACAUGUUAAAAUAUGAAAACAUAUGGAAGAAGGUUGUAAAUUGAUUGAAUGAAAAUAUUUCAGUGAAGUCUAAAAAAUUUGGUACUUGUUAUCUUAUCGAAAGUUUUCUAAAUUACAUUCGUGGCACUGCCACUGCUUCCAUGUGAAGGUCAUUAAAAUUUGUGUUAGUUACCUAUAUGUUGAAUAAUAAUUUUAUUCAUGAAUUGUUGCUCAAUAUAGCAGUUUCUAGAUGAAUUUUCCUACAUGUUUGUCCUCAUAUGACCUAGAAUGCUGCUAUAUCAAUUGUAUUGGAAAUUAUUCAAGUGGGUUUGUGCUCUAUACCCCCACCAAAAUUUAAGCAAUCUACAGAACAUUCCUUGUGGAAAGAAACUUAUUUCGCUACUAGGUGGGAGUAGAUUUCUAAGCUAAUGCUCGGCAGAUCUCUAGGCUAUACUAAAAAGUGUAUGCACUUUGACUCUCAAUAUAUACGAGUGAUUCUAUGAUGACUGAAAACAUCAGUACAUGCAUGAUUUUAUAAGAAAGAAUAUUCUAAAAUUAUUUAUGUAUCACCAUUUGUAGUUGUACCCUCUCGAAUGAAGGUGCAAUCAGCAACUAAAAUGAAGCCCGAAAUGUACACGCGUGAGGCAGUUUUUCUAGAAGAUUGAUACUUCUCAAACUAGCAAACCGUACAAGUCCAAAGCUAGAAAAGGAGUGCUUCUAAGCAGAAAACAUUGAUUAAAACAGAAUACACACACACAUACCAGUAAAUUCAAAAUAGAAAAAGGAGUUCAACUGUUCAAGUUUGUGGACAAUAUUGCAACCGUGGCAUAUUUAUAGCAAAUCCUUGAAAUCUGCUAAAUAAACAAUGCCCUGUCUCAUGAAUCAAAGCCGAAUUAAAAUUGAAAUUGAAAGUCCGGCUGGUGUUGUUUCCCUCUCCAGUUUUGCCCACAUAAGUGAAGGGAAAUGAGAAUCAUAAAUUAAAAUCUGCUUUUACAGUUUUUUAUUAGAUAGAUAUAAAGGGAUCUUUUUUGUUUCUCUGCUGCAAUUUGUGGCUAUCCCACUCUGUUUUGCCACUCAAGCUUAGUCUACGUUGAGACAUAAUUUUGACAUCAGAAGCAACCUCAAUUAGUUUGGCAUUUUUAUGACCUCCUUGUACGUUUUACGAUAAACAUAAAUCUACUGAGAAAGUGUGAAAAAAAGAAAAUGCAUAUAAAAGUAUGAGUUAUCAGACAUGAUUAAAACUCACCCAAUUCAAUCCAUUAGAUUCCGUAAGGAUAUAACUGGAUGUCAUACCGCCACUCCAUAUCCUCGAAAGUCCGUAGUCUUUGUCUCAACUCUGUCUGAGGCCAAUGUAAAUCCAAUUUGCGCAAGCUCUUUAUGCACCACAGCUCUUCUGGAAGCUUUCUCAAGUAAGCACAUGGGUUGACAAUUAAGCUUUCAAGUUUUGGCAUUGCUCCAGCCCCCAUCGUCCACUCAUCUAGCCAAUACAUUGAUUUCAGGUGCAAAACCCUAAGUUCCAGAAAGCAACCAGAGCCAACGCAGGCCAGCUUUCUUCCUAAAUACGAGUUCUGUUUCAGUUUCAGCACUUGAAGGCUUGGAAGCUUUUCCAGCAUUGGCAUGGGAUCCUCCAUUAGCUCAGUAUUCGAUAAGCUCAGAUGGCUCAGACUUGGAGGAAAUUGGUAUUCAGACAGGACAAUCCGUGAGCGCUUGCUCUCAUUCACCAGCUUCAAGCAUUCAAGUUUGUGGAGUUCGCAUAGGCUUUUGGAAACCCCAGAGUGAUAGCAACUCAAAUCUCCAGAUAUCCGAAGAGUUUGAACAUUAGGCAGUCUGCCCAAUAUAUCUGGAGUACAACUACUAGGGUGUAAGGCUGAUAUGAAAAUGAGAUUUUUCAGAGAGCUGCAAUAAUUUUUUGGAGGUGCAGGCAGAGUGAUGGAACCGAAGUUUAGAUGCAUGAGUUUUUGCAUCAUCCAAAUAUCCUCUGGUGAAUGAUCUAUGUAGCUUGAUGGCAUUUGUAGUGUUUGAAGGUUUAAAAGGGUGCAUAGCAUUGAAGGAAGGCAUUUGAGCGAAGGGAUAUUCAAUUUCAAAUACUUCAAAAGGAAUAAAUUUUCUAAUCCGGGUGGAAAUUGGUCGAGAACUGCAGAACCGAAGUUCAGUACCCGAAGGUGUUUGAACUUUUUACAAAAAUUCUCGCAAUCUAUAAGAGCGAGAUGAUCGCUUUCUGAACUGUGAUUCAGAAAAGAUUGGAGAUACAUGUCAGAAUAUUCUAAAGAAAGGAACUCAAUCAGAUCUUCCAAAAUGAAGCACCGUUUAACAUUUGCCAGUGAUUCCUCUUCCAUGUCAGGCGUCCAGACAAAUCUCGUCUUCUCUACUACCAAAGCCAAUAACGUAUAUACAAAACUUGGAACAUAACACGCUUUAAUUGUGCCGCCGGCGCUUCUCUUACUCACUUGAAUGAAGCCGCGAUGGAUUAGUUCUUUCAAGUAAUGUUCGGCAGUUUCUUCACCGUUGUAUGGUAUGAAACCUUCAGCUACCCACAACUGAUAUAAUUGCCUCGUUGAUAUCUCAUUGCAUGAAAGGAAGACACACAAAUAGAUGCAGCAGAUUUUCAAGUGAAAAGGUAACUCCAUCACAGAAAAAAGUUGUCUCC